AUGUAUAUGUUGAGGCUGUGGUAGUUCCUUUACUUAAGUAGGGUGUGGUAGUUACUGUAGUUGUAGAGAGGAUGGUAGUGUAGAUGCAGGUUUUGAGGUUGUGGUAGUAGAUAUAGGUGUUGAUGAUGUGGUAGGGGGUGUCGGUGUUGAUGACGGCUUAGAUGAUAUAGGUGUUGAAGUUUUGGUUAUUGAUGUAAGUAUUAAGGAUUGUAUUGUUCCAGUUACUAAAGUUUUAGAUGUAUUUUCUAAGGGCGAAGUGGAAGUUGUAAGUGAUGUCGAGUAAGUGGUAGUCAUUGUUUAUGUUAAUGAUAUAGGUUUAGGGCUUUUGAUGGUAGAUGUUAUAGGUGCUUUGGAUGUGGUUGUUGGUAUUGGGAAGUCGAUUUCUUCAUCUUGUAAUUGUCUGUUUACAGAUUUUGCAGCUGAUAUCCUGUUGUGUUUCAUAACCUGUGGUGCAAUGAAUUUAGUUGGCUUCACACCGGAUGCUCCUUUUGCUUUCGAGUUCAACAUCUUUCUUGCUUAAAAAUUAACAAAAAACUGUAGUCAACGUAGAAGUGGCUUAUGGUGUCCAUGGAUGACAUAUGGGCCAUUGGUCAACCGGUAAACAUGGAAGUGGCUUAUGGUGUCCAUGGAUGACAUAUGGGUCAUUGGUCAACAUGGUAGUGUCUUAUGGUGUCUAUGGCUGACAUAUGGGUCAUUGGUCAACAUGGUAGUGGCUUAUGGUGUAUAUGGAUGACAUAUGGGACAUUAGUCAACAUGGUAGAGGCUUAUCGUGUAUAUGGAUGACAUAUGGGCCAUUGGUCAACAUGGUAGUGGCUUUAUGGUGUCCAUGGAUGACAUAUGGGAUAUUGGUCAACAUGGUAGUGGCUUAUGGUGUAUAUGGAUGACAUAUGGGUCAUUGGUCAACAUGGUAGUGGCUUAUGGUGUAUAUGGAUGACAUAUUGGUCAUUGGUCAUUGGUCAUCAUAGUAGUAGCUUAUGGUGUAUAUGGAUGACAUAUGGGCCAUUGGUCAACAUGGUAGUGGCUUAUGGUGUCCAUGGAUGACAUAUGGAUGACAUAUGAGCCAUUGGUCAACAUGGUAGUGCCUUAUGGUGUAUAUGAAUGACAUAUAGAUCAUUGGUCAACAUAGUAGUGGCUUGUGGUGUAUAUGGAUGAUAUAUGGGUCAUUGGUCAACAUGGUAGUGGCUUAUGGUGUCCAUGGAUGAUAGAUGGGCCAUUGGUGAACAUGGUAGUGUCUUAUGGUGUUCAUGGAUGACACUUGGGUCAUUGGUCAACAUAGUAGUGGCUUAUGGUGUAUAUGGAUGACAUAUGGGUCAUUGGUCACCGUGGUAGUGGCUUAUGGUGUAUAUGUAUGACAUAUGGGCCAUUGGUCAACAUGGUAGUGGCUUAUGGUGUCCAUCGAUGACAUAUGGGCCAUUGGUCAACAUUGUAGUGGCUAAUGGUGUAUAUGGAUGACAUAUGGGUCAUUGGUCAACAUGGUAGUGGCUUAUGGUGUAUAUGGAUGACAUAUGGGUCAUUGGUGAACAUGGUAUUGGCUUAUGAUAUAUAUGGAUGACAUAUGGGCCAUUAGUCAACAUGGCAGUGGCUUAUGGUGUCCAUGGAUGACAUUUAGGUUAUUGGUCAACAUGUUAGUGUCUUAUGGUGUAUAUGGAUGACAUAUGGGCCAUUGGUCAACAUGGUAGUGGCUUAUGGUGUCCAUGGAUGACAUUUGGGUCAUUGGUCAACAUGGUAGUGGCUUAUGGUGUAUAUGGAUGACAUAUCGGUCAUUGGUCAACAUGGUAGCGGCUUAUGGUGUAUAUGGAUGACAUAUGGUCCAUUGAUCAACAUGGCAGUGGCUUAUGGUGUCCAUGGAUGACAUAUGGAUGACAUUUGGGACAUUGGUCAACAUGGUAGUGGCUUAUGGUGUAUAUGGAUGACAUAUGGGUCAUUAGUCACCAUGGUAGUAGCUUAUGGUGUAUAUGGAUGACAGAUGGGCCAUUGGUCAACAUGGUAGUGGCGUAUGGUGUCCAUGUAUGACAUAUGGGCCAUUGGUCAACAUGGUAGUGGCUUAUGGUGUCCAUGGAUGACAUAUGGGUCAUUGGUCAACAUAGUAGUGGCUUAUGGUGUCCAUGGAUAACAUAUGGGUUGCAAUAUUAAUGAGCAUAAUAUUAUGGUUUUUUAAUUAGAAGAAACAGAAGUUAAUUUAGUUUAGCUCGCACACACGUCUUACUUCCUACCUGAAGUAGCAGGUUCAAAUCCUACUUAUGUCAGUAAUUUUAUUUAAAUUCGUCCCUCUAAAUUUAAUCAAUAAUUUUAUUUAGCUUCAUCUUUUUAAAUUUAAAAUGUCAAUUUAUUUACAAAAAUGCCAGUAGGUAUUGACAAAAAUACCCUAACCAUUUACGUAGUAACCUUUGUAUGUUAAAGGGCAAUUAUGUCAAUUCAUAGUCUAAACACUUAGGCACCAUAAUUUUUAGUCAGACUUAUCCCGUCAUUUAAGUUUAUCGGCAAUUGAUCAUCUACAUUCCAUUCCCAACAAUCAAAAUUCUGGCACGUUGAUCAAUAAACCCUAAAAUCGUUGUUGUUAUAUAAUUUGAAUUACACUAGACGCAUUUCAACAUAAUGGCAGCGAGAUGUUCAUCAGAAAGAAUGCAAACAAGACAACAAUGAAAAAGAAUUACUGCUUUGUUGUCGUACUUGAUCGAAAAAAUAGUAACUACGGUUGGAGGAAAUUCACCAAUCGAUGCUUUUAAGUGCCAGUUAGUGUAAGUAUGAUGUGCAUUACUUAUAUUAUACUUAUAUACAUAUUUAAUUUAGUGUUUAAUAGAUUAAUUUUGUUGAUUUGUGAAUUAUAGUUGCAAACUCUUUAGGGAUUCUAUAACAUCAGACGCAAUAUAUAAAAUCAUAGACACAAAUCGAUUAAGGUUUCGUCCAUUAAGUAUUCAACAAUAUGAAGUCAUAAGCAAAUGCAAAAAGUUGAACAACCCACACAUACUCUUCAACGAUGGAAUGGUACUCUUCUUUUAAGCAAUCGGAUAAUUAAGAAUUCAAUUAGUUUUUUAUAUUUGUAUUUUUAUAAUUGUAUGAUUAAUUAUUGUAUGUCAGGCGAAGUAUUUUACGGUAGGGGAAGAACUAGCAGGGAAACAGUUGCUUCAAGAUGCAGUUGAUCAUGGGCAGUUGGAUGCUAUCUUCAUUCUGGGAAUGAUGUUGAUGGCCGAAGGUAUUGAAAGGAAGCAAGAAGCUCUGAUCGUGUUAAAUAAUGCCUACGUUAAUACUAGAAGAAGUUGGAAUCUAAGGCAUACCUGUAACAAGGUUCAAAACCACUUGGCAAGGAGAUCAAAGCAGAUAAAAUUCCAUGGCUUACAUAGAAGCUGUGCAAAGCAUCCUUAUGUGAGCAGUUAUGAUUCAGCUUUUAUGUAUCAAUGCAGUUGGUUGUUUGUGGGAUGGAUGUUUUGGUAAGUGUGCUAGGAUGUUUGACAUUAGUUUGGAGUAGUUACAUAUAUGAUUGUUGUUUGAUUCACACAAUUAGUGAUGCAUAUUUUAUGUUUAUUUUGGUGUAAUGGGAAUACAUAUUUUUAACUUUAUUAAAUGUUAAUAUAUAUAUAUAUAUAUAUAUAUAUAUNNNNNNNNNNNNNNNNNNNNNNNNNNNNNNNNNNNNNNNNNNNNNNNNNNNNNNNNNNNNNNNNNNNNNNNNNNNNNNNNNNNNNNNNNNNNNNAAUCAACAUAUAUAGGUUUAGAUAUUACACAUUGAUACCCUCUAUUCUAUAAUAUAUUGAUUUGUGUCUAAUAUAUAUAUAUAUAUAUAUAUAUAUAUAUAUAUAUAUAUGUUAGUUUUUAUAUGUAUGUUAUUUUUGUCUUUUUCAUUUUACUAACUAAAAGUUCAUUGUGACCUAGUUUUGAUAUAGAUUUCAAGGGCACUUUGGUCUAUUUGCAAUCUCUAAAGUGAAGGGGCCAUUUUUGCUAUGGAAAAAAAAAAAAAUUUAAUCAAGUCGUUAUUAAAAGGAAAAUAUUGUAUAUAUAGAAUUUAUAUUAUAAGUAGAUCUAUAUCUAUAUUUAUUAUGAAUGUUAUUUAAAUUUAUAAUUACCCGUAUACUACAUGGGUUUUAACCUGGUACUGAAUAAUAUCGACCCACUAAUAUGACCUAGUAUCCAUCCAACACAUUGAAAUCAAGGGUUGUCGAAGGUUCUUUAAUCGAUACACACUUUGUUUGAAUAUGUGUUCUGCAAGUGUCGAUCUCAAUUAAACCAUUCUACUAAUUUUCUAAGACUUUAUCCAAUAAUAAAAGUUAUUCAACCAUUCAAAUUAGAAAACUUUGAGGAUUUGUUCAGCAUUUGGUCAUUAGCUUUGUGAAACAAGUCGUUGUUAAGGUACCUUUGCGAUGUUUGUAUGGUAACUAUAUAUUUACUUCAAAUGUCAUAUAUGAAUUCAAAUCAACAUUAAUGAACAUAAAAUUAAUAUUGUGUUAUUGAAAUUUAUACUUUACAAAUUUAAGACAAAGAACAAUUCAAGUAGAAAAUGGAUGUAUGAAAGAAAAGAUAAUAGUAGUUGUAUAUCGCUUGUUUUCAUACAAGGAGUGAAAAUAUUUAUAGAUUUUGCUACCACUCAACAUAGGUUCAUGGAUGAAGAUAAAUCAAAUGCCCAUGCAUAAAAUGUCGUAACAUACCAUAUACAUAAGUUGAUAUUGUUAAACAUCAUUUGUACAAGUUUGGUUUUGUUGACGAAUAUUGGUUUUGGGAUAAACAUGGCGAAACAUCAAUUGAUGAUGACAAUACGUUUUUAGGGGUUGAUGAUUCAAACACAAAUUUUAGAGAAGGUGCAUGUUCUUAUAGAGAAAUGGUCAUAGAUACAAUGGCUACUGAUUUAAAUAAUAUUGAUCCUGAAGAGGAGCCAAAUGCACUAGAUAAAAAAAAUUCUUUAAUAUGCUAGAUGCAGCCGAUAAAGAAUUAUGGCCUGGAUGUAAAAAAAAGUGACACAACUAUCUGCUGUAGCUAGACUAUUGAAUUUAAAAUCAGAGUAUCUCAUACCUGAGCAUAGUUAUGACACUAUCUUCCAGUUGAUAAAUGAUGUGUUACCAGAGGAGAAUAAUAUGGUAGGUAGUUUAUACGAGAGCAAAAAGUUAAUACAAGCACUAGGUUUGCUCAUGGAGAUGAUUGACUGAUGCAGGUCUGGAUGUAUGAUAUAUUGGAGUCAAGACAAAGAUCUUUGUCGGUGCAAAUUCUGCAAUGCAGAUAGGUACAAACGGUCAAAAAAUUUGGCUAGAUGUUCUCGCGUAUCCUUCAAGAAAAUCUAUUACUUUCCUUUGACUCCAAGGUUGAAGAGACUAUAUGCUUCAGAAGCCACAGCCACUUCCAUGCGAUGGCACUCUGAGAAUCAUAGACAUGAUGCUGGAGUAAUGUGUCAUCCAUCCGGUUCAAAAGCUUAGAAGCACUUUGACAAAAGUCAUCCUUCAUUUGCAGCAGAAGUACGUAAUGUAAGAUCAAGCCUAAGUACAGAUGGGUUUGCACCACAAGGAGCAUUUGGAAAGCAAUAUUCAUCUUAGCAUAUUAUUAUAACACCUUAUAACUUGCCAACUUCUAUAUGCAUGAAAGAGCCUUACAUGUUUUUGACUGCCCUUGUGACAGGACCGUCAAACCCUAAGCAUAAAAUAGAUGUAUUUUUGCAACCAAUUGUUGCAGAGUUAGAGCAAUUAUGGGAAGAAGGCGUAGUAACAUAUGAUAUAUCCUUAAAACAAAAUUUCCAUCUAAGAGCAGCUUUGAUAUGGAAAAUAAGUGAUUUUCUAGCAUAUGCAAUGUUGUCCGGAUGGCUACAGUAGGUAAGCUAGCAUGUCCUCAUUGUGGGAAACAUACACAAGCAUUCAGACUAGAGAAUGGUAAUAAGAUGUCAUGGUUUGACUGCCAUAGAAGAUUUCUACAGGUGAAUCACCCAUAUAGAAAGGAUAAAAAUAAGUUCAAGAAGAAUCGUGAAAUGAUAGAAGGUCCUCCUCCAAGUAAGAAUGGUGAACAAAAUUUAAGGAAGAUUGAACAAUUAUGUUUGGUAAAAGUGGCUGAACUAAAUGUUGAUGAUGUAAACAUAAUAUGUGGCGCUCAUGGUUGGAAAAAGAAAAGCAUAUUUUGGGAUUUACCAUAUUGGAAAAAAAUCUCAUUAGACAUAAUUUUGAUGUUACGCAUAUUGUGAAAAUUUUAUUUGAAACUUUUUUUACACUAUAAUGGAUGUCAAAGGGAAGAUGAAGAACAAUGUAGCAGCCAGAAGAGAUCUGAAGCUCUAUUGUAGGAAGAGAAAAGGAGUCGAAGAUAAUGAAAGAGCAUACUACACUCUGGAGCAAAAUCAAAAGAAGGCCAUAUGCCAAUGGGUGGAGAAAUUGUGUUUCCCCGAUGGUUAUGUUUCUAAUUUGGGGAGGUGUGUUGCUUUAACAGGGUGUAGACUAUUCCGAAUGAAAAGCCACGAUUGUCAUGUUUUUAUGCAAAGAUUGAUGCCAAUUGCAUUCCGUGAGAUGUUGCCAAAACAAGUGUGGGAAGCAUUAACAGAGUUGAGUAUUUUCUUCAAAACAUUAACAGCAACAACAAUCACAGCAAAAGACAUGGAAAUGAUUGAAACCGAGAUCCCAAUAAUACUAUGUAAAUUAGAGACCAUCUUUGUCCCGGUAUUUUUUUACUCCAUGAAACAUUUACCAGUACAUUUUCCAUACGAAGCAAAGAUAGUCGGUCAUGUCUAAUAUCGGUGGAUGUAUCCAUUUGAAAGGUUUGUAUCGUACAUCAUAAUGUAUGUUGCUAUUUUGUACGCUGAUUUAAAUAAUCUUCACCAUAGGUAUCUAAAUCAAUUGAAAAAUGAUGUGAAAAAUAAAGCUCGAGUGGAAUGGUCCGUUGUUAACGCAUACUUGCUACGUGAAGCAUCAAUAUUUUGCUCUCAUUAUUUCAAUACUGGUGUCCCCACAUGUAAUAGAAAGUUGCCUCGAAAUGAUAAUGGAGGAGGAGAUGAGAAAGCGGAUGCUAACCACGACAAGUUAGAUAUAUUUUCAUAUCAUGGGCGUCAUUAUGGAAGAUUCACGAAUAGAAUGAUGUCUGAUGAGGAAGUACAUGCUGCCCAAACUUACAUACACCUUAACGAAGAUAAAAUCAAGCAUUACAUUAGGUACGUAACAUUUGCAUCAAUUUUAAUUAUAAUAAUCAUUUGUUGUGUAAUUUCUAUGAAUUAAUAACAUUAACACGCAUGAUUUUGUUUAUUACAUUCAUAGUAACUUCAAAAUGUUAUUCAAAUUGUGAUACAAAAUAUUUGAAGAAAAUUUGAAUGAACUUAUAAGGGAUAUAAAGGAAUAGGUCCUUGCAGCUGAAGUUGAGAAGAACUUUGCAGUAUGGUUUCAAAACUAUGUGGGUUUUAUUCUUGUAUUUUUUAAAAAAAUCAUUAUUUUUUGUUAUGGUUAUAAUUAACUCUAAUUAAGUGUUUUACCAUUUUUCAUAUAGGCACGUAAGAUCCCGAUAAACAACAAGUAUAUAUCUGACCUUUCCAAAAUGCCAUUCAAAAAAGUGAAAUUAUAUAGUGUAUACUUUGCCAAUGGUUACAAGUUUCACACAGAAACUCAUAGUCUGAACAAAUCAACAACCAAUAGCGGAUUGUGUGUUAGUAGCUAAGGAGGUGAUUAUUAUGGUAAGGUAGAGGAAAUUUUAGAAGUCGAGUACCCUGGUUACCCAAUUAAAACCGCAGUUUUGUUUAAAUGUCAUUGGUACGAUCCAACACCUAACAUAGGAGUUAAGGUUCACAAACAAUAUAACUUGGUCGAGAUAAAUGUCAAAAGAAAAUACAACAAGUUCGAACUAUUUGUUUUAGCCAUGCAAGCCACUCAAGGGUGUUACAUUCCUUACCCAAUUUUGAAAACAAACAACUCGGACUGGUGGGAUGUAUUUAAAGUUAAACCUCGUGGUUAGACCGAUGAAAAUCAUCAUCAGAAAGACGUUGCAUUCCAAGAAGAUGAAGUUGAAUCAAAUGAAAUCAUCAUACCAAGUGUAGCCAAUAUAAACAAUUAUGAUGAUCACGAAAUGUCAAGCAACGGUUUAGAUAAUGAAAAUAAUAUUGAUGAAGAAGGUGAAAUUCAUGAGGACGACAAUGAUGGUAUUUCUGACAGCGUAGGUAGUUGUGAGUAUAGUACAUCGAGCAAUGAAGAACAAGAGGAGGAAGAAGAAGAGGAGGAAGAAGAUAAUGACAAGAUGCUUUCGUGUUUAAUGUUUUUUUUUCAAAUGAAGUUAAUUUGUCAUUUGGUUUAAUAUCAUUACAUAAAUGAAAACUAGGAAGAAAGCCCAGGAUUUGCCCCGGGAUGUUUUUUGUGUUUUUUAUGUCAAAAUGUAAAACUAUUGACUGUAAAGCCGAAGAGUAUGAAAGUGGCUAUAAUUUUAUUUUUGUUUUGUGUUUACAUCAUUUUUUUAAAAGGGCAUUUUAGUCAUUUUUGAUUGCUAUGUUGUUUGAGUAGGAUGAAGUAUACGUAAAACCCAUGUUAUUUUUUGUGAUGAAGUAUAGUUAAUGUAAUUAAAAAUAAGUUUGAAAUGAAUUCGUUGUUAAUUAUUUUUUAUAUACUAUGUUUUCAUGAAAUUAUACACAACUUGAUUAGCACAACUGGCUUAACCGCGCCCUUUUCUAGCAUAAGCAUAUGUUCGAGUCCGCUUGCCAACAAUAUCUACUUUAUAAUUCAUUUUUACAUUUUUUAGCCAUUAGUUUAUGACACAUAUUAACAAUUCAAAAACAUUUCAUUCAAACCAUAUCUUACAAAUUCCAUUGAUCAUAAUAAUAAUUCAUCCAUAGUAUAAGAAGAUUAAUUAGGCAUACAACAUCCAAACAAAUGCCGUCACAAAUUAGCUACGUGUUUUGUUCGAUGCCAAAACAAGCAAACGAAAUCAUAUUCCAUAGCAGAAUUCCCUAGCAAAUACCUACGGAUGGUACUUCCAUAGCAAUUCAACUAUGAAAUUGGUUUCCGUCACAAACUUCAUUGCAUAGUAACCACGAUAAUGAAUUCCAUAGCAGCAAUACAACGGAAAGUGAUUUGGUAACAAAUGUCGUUGGAAAGUUGCUACAAAUUUUUCUUCCAUAGAACUCUCGGUAGCAUAAUACCAACGUAUAUGGAGUCAGUAGCAUUUUCCCUAGCAAGUCCCAUUCUCGCUACCAGAAAUGAAAUUUGUAGACAAUGAGGUAGCAACAUUGCUAUGGAACGACAUUUCACAUCACGAUCCAUUGCAGAUUAACAACGAAAAUACAUUCCAUAGGGACCUUCCUAGCAAAAUCACUUUUUUCUUGUAGUGUCAUAAAUAAGUGCGUGUCAUGGUUCGCAUGUCAUUAAAGGGUUGUUUUCUAGUAGUGGUAUUACUUUUUUAUCUUUUAGUACAACUUACACCUAAAGUUACCGAGAAGUCUUUCAUUAUAGCAACUCCGUAAUAGGAGCCCUUUCCUUUGUCUUCAUAGCGACAAUGUGGUUGAAAGAAAGAUCAGGCUCCUCAACUCUCAAUAUCCCAGGUGGAAAAUAAUAGCCCAAUCUUCUGCCACCUAAACUUAAUCUUUGUUAACCACAUCUCUCUAUAGGCCUUCCUUCUUUCCAAGUAUCUAGAAACCAAUUGAAGCUUUACAUGGAUUCAACUUCUGUAGCAUGAUUGCCUUGGAAAACAUGUCUACUAGAUUCUUAGUACCAAGGAUCUUCUUCGGGUUCCAAGUCCAAUGGCUUAUUGAUUGUUUGAUAAACCGUUACUUCAUCUACACAUAUUUUGUUCUAUCAUGAAUGAUUAGAUUCUUUGAAAGGUGAAAUGCACUAUGGUUUUAAUAAAGUAGGACACAAUCUUUUUUUUGCCCAAAUAUAUGAAUAUUUUCAAGCAAAUAAGUUCUAAGGAUAAUUUUUUCAAUUUCCAUUCAUUAUGCUUCUAUGGUUAAUAGAUGAAUACUCUUUCCAAAGUGUGGAUAUCCAACUGAUGGUUAUACCUGCAAUGGUAUACAAAAACCCUGUUAUGGUUUUCCCUAAAUAUCUAGAACAUNAAGUAGGACACAGUCUUUUUUGUGCCCAAAUCUAAGAUGAAAAUUUUCAACCAGAUAAGUUCUAAGUACAAUUUUUUCAAUUUCCAUUCAGUAAGCUUCUAUGGUUAAUAGAUGGAUACUCUUUCCAAAGUUUGGAUAUCCAACUGAUGGUUAUACCCACAAUGGUAUACAAAAACACUAUUAUGGUAAGGUAACCACAUAAGUUUCUUUCUUCUAAAGGUAAGGUAACCACAUAAGUGCUUUUCAAGUAGCAUAACAGACGCUUCAUCCCUUCCUAAUUACUUUUCUUGUAUUUGACAUAAACCUGCUACUGCCUCCCACUACAUUACAAUUUAAGAUCUAGUGCAUAACGUAUCAUAAAUGAAGUUACAGUUAACUAAGGCAUACGAGACUUUAGCCAUUUCUUCCACAUACAAUGUNCUACAUUACAAUUAAUGGUCUAGUGCAUAGCGUACCAUACAUAAAGUUACAAUUAACUGAGGCAUAAGGGACUUUAGCCAUUUCUUCCUUGUUUCUACAUGUCUUCACAAAGAUAACUUUCUAUUGCUUUCCAAGAAUUCAUUUAUUUCAAAAGUCAAUAAUCACACUUUUCAAAUUCGGAAUUCUUCGAUUCAAAGUUAACAUCUUCAUCUAUCACUCAGUCGUAUGCCCAUGUCUUUGUACCAUAAAGUAAAUGUAUGUGUUUCUUUAAUAAACACAUUUCCCCUGUUGCACAAAUAUCAACCAUAUACACUGUUUCCUAUCGAAAACAAUGAUAGACCACGAGGAUCAUUUUUUGUUGUUAAUUCUACACAUAACGAAAUUUUUUGUUUUCAAUUCUACAAUGUUUUAGAAAUUAUAAUGUUUUUACUAAUGACUUUUGAUUUUGACCAACUAAACUAUAUAAUUAGAUAUGAACGAAAAAGAUAUUUCAAUUAUUGUAGUGUGCUGUUAGACAAUGCGUUUUUAAAGUGUAAAUGGAAUCUUAUACUUGUGUAUUUAUUUGUAAUUUCAAUUUGAAUGUUUACAAUGAAUCAAAGAAUAAAUAAUCAUGAAGAUCAGAAAUCGAUCAAUAAAGAAUAAAAAAUAUGGAUAUCAAGUUAGUAAACAGGCUUAAAGGAAUCUAGAGGUCUUGCAUUCCGCUGAAAUACCAUUGGGAAACCGUUUGUGGUCGUUGCAGUAGUUGUAGAUCAUGUGCUUGGUUUGCACCCAUCGGAUCCUAUUUCGGCCAGCUGCAUCAAGUCCUUGGGUACUCCAUGACUGGUUAUCAUUUAUUGAGCUUGUAGAUACUGAAUUGGGACCAACUUUUUUGGCAUUGGCAUUGAAUUUCCUGUAUAACGCGGUGAAAGGCGCAUUAGUCCAGUCGGUCUUCACACGCCCACCUUGGGUUGCCCAGUCAUCCGCGUUCCACAGGCUGGCAUAAACCCUCAUGGGUUGGCUCUUGGGAAAUGGGACUCCAGCAGCAUCAUUGUUAUUGAACACCCUUACUGGUAUGUUAUCUAUUAAGAAACUGCAGAGACAAAGAGCUUUAUAUAGGAACAGCAGAAAAACAUGAGAAAGGAAGAGAACCAAUUAAUGUUUAUGUUGGAUGCGUGACUUACAUAAUUCUUAGACUGUUCCAUACGAUGGUAUAGGUGUGGAAGGCUGCGGUAGGGUCAAACCAAAGGUGGAACUGCUGUUCUUUGUUUCCUUUCCCUUGUGAAUACACAUUGGUGUGAAUUGUGUAAGGGUUUCCCGUGGAGUUGCCCAAGAACUCGAAGUCGAUCUCAUCGUGACCCGCACCUUGUGAUGACAACUAAUGUGAUUUAAUACAAAGACAUGGUUAUUAUCAGCCUUUAAAAGAUUAAUACAAAUGAGUGAUCACAAUAUAUAUAUAAUUCAGAUAUGAAAUUCAAGAUUGGAACCGAUCGAUGGUACUCACGUAGAAUGUGGUGACGGUGCCAGCAGAAUUGCCUGGUACUAGUUUGAGUUGCAUGUCGAACCUUCCAAACAGGUACUCGUGCUUCGACUGGAAACCCGAUCCAGAGUAUUGGUCGAGUGAAAGUGAAAGAUCCUGACCUCCAUUCAGAAUUUUAGCACGUUCACCCCCAAAACUGAUGUCCAUGUCAUCGUAAAAACUCCCUGCUGAUGCUGCUACUAUUAGAAUUGAUAUUAAAAGAACAACUGCACAAAGAUUAGAGUUCGACUUUGCCAUUAUUGUUUGUAUGGAGAGAGAGAGAGAGAGAGAGAGAGAGAGAGAGAGAGAGAUGUUAUGUUUGUGGGAAGUAGUACUGAUAUCGUUUAUAUAUGUAGGUGUGGCUACGUUGACAAUUUUCAACAGGAACCAUCCUUGUUACUGAAGGAUGUCAUGAUGGCUAAUGGAUGCACCAAUAUCUAUUGACGCGUGACAACUCACAUUAUUCUUCUGGUUCUGGACAUGGGCAGGAGCGGUGGGGUUUUUUCUUUAUUUUUUUCUAAACGUCUGCCAACUCAAAUUUUGCAAAUUUGUCAUAUUUGGACCGGUGGUUGACAUCAUAGGUAAAAUACACUUGUUUUAAUUGUUAAUAAGUUGGGAAAAUCAAAUCUUUAAAAACGCAUUUACAACAUUUACAAUCACAUUUCACACUAUUAAAAAACUAAUUAUAAAUCCCUCUGUAAAAGGAACCAUCUUAUUGAUGAUAAAACCGUAGGCAAAUUCCCCAAACAUCUACCUUUUCAUUUAAGUUGGUUACCAAAUUCCUCCAUUUUAUCUAAAAUUUUGGUUUCCCUCGGUUUCCACAUUAAAUGAAAGCACCACUUGUAAGGAAUAAAAGAUUUAUAAGAAUUGGAUCAAACUCAACUCUAUGUACAUUGAAUAAAGAAAUAUGGGAAGGAAACCUACAAUCUGUUCUUUGUGAUGAUUUAUUCUUGGUUCAUUCGGAACUCUAUCUAUUAUUAUAUUAUGCACAAUUAUAUUUCUUAAUUGUCACAUUCUUAAAACUAAUUAAAAGUCAUCAUAUAUUGAUUUCUUUGGAAAUGUUAGGAUCUUGAUUGAGUUCUUGAAAUUUGGCAAUGAAAGUAAAUUCGUCAUAGGCUUUAACAAGUACAUAGAUGUUGUGACUGCAAUAUUUACUGUAGGUGUGAAAUUGAAGAUGAUGUUUGAGGACGAGGACACUCCUUGAAGAGGGUAACUAAGAAAUUUACCGUUAUUUGUCUUUUUGAGUUUUUAAAUGUGUUGUAAUCUAAACAGCAAUUUUAUAGGGAAAAUAAUAGCAGCUAAAUUUUUUUGCCUUAGUCAUAACUUUUUGAUGGUGAUAGUUGAAUAUUUAUAUAUGUUGUAGUUUUCUUCUUUAAAUUUAACAGAUUCAUUGAAAGAAACCAAGAAAAAAAUGGUAUCUUGCAUGUGAUGAACAUGUAUCUACCAUGUGAACAUAAUGGAUAUUCACAGAAGACCAGUUCUUUUAUCUCAACUCUAUAAAUACGUACAAAUAUAUUCUUAGAAAAGUAAAAACUCAAGAACUUCCCGACAUGGACAAUUUAUUCACCAUAAACCAGUUCGUUUGUACAACAAUACUUACAAAGGAAAUCAUCACUACAUAGCUCACACUCUAACGUAUACACAAAAUGAUUUUACUGUAAUCGGAAAUACAAACCCUUGAUAAUACAGAAAACCCUAAUCGAGAGUUAGAGAGAAAAGAUAUAGCAAUCUACAGAAUGCAUCAUAUGAUUGAGACGAGCCAGCUGACCAACAAGCAUAUAUACCCGGAUCAUGAAAAGUGACCUGGUGGAUCGACAAACUCGCAUUUGCAAUAAGAAACUUACACAACAACCCAUGCAUAAUAACGUCAAUACAAAAAUUGACCAAACUAUCCCGAAAUUACAAAAUGUUGUGCUUAAAUAAAUAAAUAUAUAUAUAUAUAUAUAUAUAUAUAUAUAUAACAUAACCCCUUCUCAAACUUAACAUUUUAAUCAUUUAUCAUAAAAAUGUCAAUAAGACCCAAUCUUUUUGAAAAUAUUCAUGUUGAAACGAAACUAAAGAUUUUGUAAGAAUGUGAGCAUUGUAAUCAUAAGAGUCAACCUUAACAACUUCAACAAUACCAUUAUCAGUUCUUUUUCCUAACAAAAUGAACAUCUACUUCAAAAUGCUUCAAUUUUUCAUGAAAAACUAGUUUAACAGCUAAUUGGAUUGUAGACUCAUUAUCACAAAAAAAAUUAACUGGAGUUAAAUUUUUAAAACCAAGAUCAAAUAAAAAUUUUAAUACCCACAAAAUUUCACAAAUAGCAGACCCCAAAGCAUGGUAUUUAGAUUCAGUGGAAGAUCUGGACACCAUACUUUGUUUCUUACUUUUCUAGGAAAUAAGAGAAACUCUCCGAUAAACUAAGUACCCUAUUAUUAGUCUUCUAGCGGUACGCACUUGGCCCAGUCAACAUCAAAAUAUCCAACAAGAUCAAAACAUUAUAUUUAUGAAUAAAAACAUUUUUUUCUUGGAUUAGACUUUAAAUACCUCGACAACCGAAAGCAUUGUUCAAAUGGGACUUAUGAGGUUUAUGCAUAUGUUGACUAAGAAUUUGAACAUCAUAAGCAAUAUUUAGUCUAGCAACAGUUAAAUAAAUGAGCUUACCUAUUAUAAGUUUCUGAAAUUCAGAAAUAUUAACAAAACUGUGAGAACUAUAUAUCACAAUGCUUUGGAAUAACUAGAUUUUUCUUGAUUUAAACAGAUACCACCAUUAACAGACAUGACCUCUAUGCCUAGAAAAUAUUUUAAUUCUCCAAAGUCUUUAAUUAAAACCUGAGACUUAAGAAAAUCCUUCACACAAUUGAUUUCACAAAUACAAUUGCUUGUUAAAAUGAUAUUAUCCACAUAUACAAGUAAUAUAACAAAAGUAUCACCUUUUGACCAAACAAACAAAGAGUAAUCAUUUAUGCUUUGAAUAAAACUAAAACUUGAAAGAGAAGAACACAUCUCAUUCCAUUUUCUAGGUGCAUGUUUAAGCCUAUAUAAAGGUUUGACAAGUUUGCAAAAUUUAUUAUCAUUAAUUGAGUGAUAUCCAUUAGGCAAACUCAUAUAAACAUCUUCAAUUAAAUCACCAUAAAGAAAAGCAUUAUCAAUGUCAAGUUGAUAAAGACGCAAAGAUUUAUUAACAACUAAAUUAAUAACAAUCCUAACAGUAACAGUCUUUUCAACUUGAGAAAAUGUCUCAUCAUAGUCUAUACCCUCUCGUUGACUAUACCCUUUUGCAACAAGCCUAGCUUUGUAUCUCUUAAUUUCUCUAUUUGAUUUAUAUUUAAUUUUAUAUAUCCACCUACAUCCAAUUGGCUUUCUAUGUUUAGGAAGAUCAAUUAUUUCCCAUGUAAGAUUUCUAUACGAAGCCUCCAUUUCUUCAUUCAUUGCUUUGACCCAAUUUAGCUCAGAAACAACCUCUUUAUAUGUUUUUGGUUCACAUGUUUCAUGUCAAACCCCCAAACCGAGAACGGCAGAAACGUUCGGGGGUGGAGGACGUCAUGUACAGUAUCAUAACAAUGCAUAAUAGUAAAACAAGCAACAACAUCUAAUGCAUUAAUAAUAUAGUUUAUACAUGUGUGUUCUGUGUAUAGUUGUAAGACACCAAAAAUAUAUCAAAAUAAAAGACGAGUCUUGAACAUGCUCCGUCUUCUCAAAACCUUGUCUAGUGUACCUGUCUACUUGUGACUUGAGAAUACAGGUUAUUUUGAAACAGAGAAUCAACAUUUAAGUUGGUGAGUUCAUAAGUAUUUUAGUGUCAAAAGUUCGCAUUUGUUUUAUGAAAAAGUUUGCAAUUGUUUGAUGAAAAUGUUUGAAUACUUCCUACAAAAAUCCUAUAUUUCCUUUUAAUAGUGAUAACUGAACUGUUAUAGUUUUUCCUUAAGUUUAACGGAUUCAUUGUAAGAAACCAAGAAAAAAUGGUAUCUUGAAUGGGAUGAACAUGUGUCUACCAUGUGAACAUAAUGGAUAUCUACAAGAGAGAUUGAAACUAUCGUAACAAAACAUAAGAUUAGUCUAAAAACAACAUGAUAUUCAAUGUCGAACUGACAUCUAAUGGUUACGUAUGUCUCAAAUGUAUAAAUAUGUACAAUCAUAUAUUGGCUAUGUAUCCAUCCGUAAAGGGAACCAUCAACCUUGGACUUCUAGUUGAUUAAGGAUUUAGUACAGAUCAUCGACAAACAGAUGUGAAAUCUUCCUAAUUUAGCAUAUCUUUAUCCAUUUUGGUGUUAAAACUUAUAUGUUGAAGUCUAUUUGAGCCCAAUAUGCAAUUAUUGUAUUUUUAUUAAGUUUUCAUUUGUGCGUGCAUCUUCUGUAACAAAGUUAAAAUUGCAGACCUUAAUUUUUAGAUAAAUACCUAGUAGAAAAAUAUCAUUUAAUGACACGCAUUGUGUGUCAUAAAAGGGUACAGAUGACACGCAGAUGUGUGUCAAAGAAGGCCCUGUCAUCAAGGAAAACGACACACAUUUAUGUUUCGUAACCAUACGACGCACAUUUUACGACACGCAAUGCGUAUCAUUAAAGCCCCUGUCAUAAAGAAAGACGACACACAUUUUUAUUUGUCAUAAUUUUAAAUAUUUAAAAAAUAUAUAUUUUGCUAUACAUAUUUAAUAAUUUUCAAAUUGGAUUACAGUUAAUGUCUCAAAAUAUAAAAUAGCAUAUCAUAUAAAAAAAGACAAUCCAUUUAAAAAUGUAUAGUAUGUCAAAUAACAAUAAUUAUUCCAAUGCUUAAAUAAAUGUAAUACAAAAACUAUUUCAAUAUAUAUCUUAUGAAUUCCCCUAACAAUACACCAUCUCCAAUUAAGACAUGUAUUCAGACCAAUUUACCUACUAAAAAUGCAACAAUUGAAACAUGAGACCCAACCGAUACUUCAUAUAGUCCGUUUGGUCCUUUAUCAUUCCAUAUUGGCCAAGUGACCUCCAAGAUUCAGAUGUGUUUCUUCAAUCCAUUUUUUGGUUGACUCUAUGACACCAAAGUAUGUUACACCUAUUGCAAGAGAUCCAGUUACCCUAGGUGUCACCUCUUUAUAAAAAACAAUACUCAAAAACUAAUAGCAAGUGAUAUAAUAUUAAAUGAAUAAAUGUUGCUCCUAGAUUAUUUUCCGCUUUCAUUUGAUUUACCUAAAAUCCAAAUCGUUGCAAAUUAAAUAAAACAAGAUUAUUAAAAAAAGCUUUCUUAUUUCUUUAAUGGGUUAAAUAGAAGUCACAAUUUUAGCUUUCAUGGAUUCAUCUUCCAAAUUAUCACAACUGUUUUUAAUACAAAUAACAUGUAUAACAACCUACAAGGUUUUAUCUUCUAUUUCAGGAUGGUAAUAAAAUGGAGAAUCGAUUUGCUAAAUGGAUAGUAAUACCAUACAUUUACAAACUCCCCUACAGCAAAUUUAGCAAGCAAAAGCUACUACAUGAAAAUAAACUAUCUAUAGUCUUUUUCGUAAUAAAAAGCACAAACCUAAUGGAAAAUUAAGAACGUUAACACUAAAACACCAAAAAAAAACAUCAAACUAAUUAAAAAGUAACAAUCGGAUUUUGUAACAAAAGAAAACAAUUUCCAAUUGCCAAUUUCUAAUUUCCAAUCAUAAUCAAUAUUUCAAACCUAAAAAGUUAAAAAAAAUAUAUAAUAUAAUUAACAAGCGAAUUAGUUAUUACCAAGUUAUUGAGGCUCACUCAGGCUUAUGCGACAUCAAUGCUCACUCUGGUCUCUAGUAACAACCUUUACUUCGGAAAAGACAAUUGCACAGUGGAGGGAAGAUUUUAGGCGGCCAGGUCAGAGGAGUCAUGAGGGAACGAGGGUUAAUGAAGAAGAAAGAGAGAAUAAGAUAUGAUGUAUGUAAACAACGAGAUUUAAUGAACCCUAAAAACCUAAACACGAAUAUGUAUUGUGUUCAUAGGAAGGUUGGAGUUGAUACCAUGGUUGCAGAGCUGCAAUAAGAUGAAAGGGAGAUCCACAACCACGAAAUGCCAUUAGGUUUCUUUGGUAGAUGAUUUUACAGAAGAAGGAGGAGACGCAUCAUAGACAUAAAAAUGACGAAUGGAAGAUGAUUAGAGAAUAAGGCGAUGGGGUUUUUAAUUUUUUGGGGAUUUCAUCCCCCCCACCCCUCUUAGUUAUUUAAGGAUGGGAAACGUGUGUUUUUCUACAUGAAAAAUUAUAAAAUGACAUGCUUAUAUGGCAUGCUUGUUUUGAUAGGUACCCUCCAUGUAUUUUUUUUUUGUUACACUAAUAUUACAGCACGCAAAAAUGCGUGUCCUAAAUGCUUCAAGUUUUGGGAGAGCUGACAUUAUUUUUAGGGCAUACAAUUUUACAUAUCAUAAAUCAGUGUGUGUCAUGGUUUGCAUGCAAUUAAAGGACUGUUUUCUAGCAGCGAUAGUACUUUCUUAUCUUUUUAUACAACUUACACCAAAAGUUAUCGGGAAGUCUUUCCUUGUAGCAACUCCGUAACUAGAGCCCUUUCCUUUAUCUUCAUAGCGACAAUGUCGUUGAAAGAAAGAUCAGGCUCCUCAACUCACAAUAUCCUAGUUAGGAAAUGAUCAACCAAUCUUCCGCCACCUAAACUUAAUCUUUGUUAACCACAUCUCUCUAUAGGCCUUCCUUCUUUCCAAUUAUCUUUCCAACUAUCUAGUAGCCAAUUGAAGCUUUACAUAGAUUCAACUUUUGUAACAUGAUUGCCUUGGAAAACAUGUCUACUAGAUUCUUAGUACCAAGGAUCUUCUUCAGGUUCUGAGUCCAAUGGCUUAUUGAUUGUUUGAUAAAGUGGUAGUUCAUCUACACAUAUUUUGUUCUUUCAUGAAUGAUUAGAUUCUUUGAAAUGUGAAAUACACUAUGGUUCUAAUAAAGUAGGACAUAGUCCUUUUUUUUUGUCCAAAUCUAAUAUGAAAAACUUCAACCAAUAAGUUCUAAGGACAAUUUUUUCAAUUUCCAUUCAUUAUGCUUCUUUAGUUAAUAGAUGAAUACUCUUUCCAAAGUAUGGAUAUCCAACUGAUGGUUAUACCCACAAUGGUAUACAAAAACCCUAUUAUGGUUUUCCCUAAAUAUCUAGAACCUCCCUUAUCUACAUCACUGAAGCCUUUUAAGACUAGUUUCUUUCUUCUAAAAGCAAAAGGAAACCACAUAAGUGCUUUUCAAAUAGCAUAACGACCACUUCAUCCCUUCCCAAUUUUUUUUCUUUUAUUUGACAUAAAACUGCUAAUGCCUCCCACUACAUUACAAUAUAAGGUCUAGUGCAUAACAUAUCAUAGAUGAAGUUACAAUUAACUGCGGCAUAUGUGAAUUUAGCCAUCUCUUGCUUGUUUCUACCCGUCUUCACAAAUGCAACUUUCUAUUGCUUUCCAAGAAUACAUUUAUUACAAAUGUCAAAAAUCACACUUUUCAAAUUCGGAAUUCUUCAUUUCAAAGUUAACAUCUUCAUCUAUCACUCACUCACAUGCCUAUGUCUUUGUGUCAAAAAGUAAAUGUCUGUGUUUCUUCAAUAAACACAUUUCCACCAUUGCACAAAUUUCAACCAUAUACAACGUUUCCAAUCGAAAACAAUGAUAGACCACGAGCAUCAUUUUUUGUUGUUAAUUCUACACGUAACGAAAUUUGUAUGCAGUGUCGAAGGAAAAAGGGUUUUAGAAAUUAUAAUGUUUUUAUUAAUGACUUCUAAUUUUGAGCAACUAAACUAUAUAAUUAGAAAUGAACAAAAAUGACAUUUCAAUUAUUGUAGUGUGUGUUAUAGAAUGUAUUUUUUAAAGUGAAAUUGGAAUCUUAUACUUGUGUAUUUAUUUGUAAUUUCAAUUUGAAUGUUUACAAUGAAUCAAAGAAUAAAUAAUCAUCAAGAUCAGAAAUUGAUCAAUAAAAAAUAAAAAAUAUGGAUAUCAAGUUAGAAAGCAGGCUUAAAGGAAUCUAGAGGUCUUGCAUUCUGCUGAAAUACCAUUGAGAAACCGUUUGCGGUCGUUGCUGUAGUUGUAGAUCAUGUGCUUGGUUUGCACCCAUCGGAUCCUGUUUCGGCCGGCUGCAUCAAGUCCUUGGGUACUCCAUGACUGGUUAUCAUUUAUGGAGCUUGUAGAUACUGAAUUGGGACCAACUUUUUUGGCAUUGGCAUUGAAUUUCCUGUAUGACGCGGUGAAAGGCGCAUUAGUCCAGUCGGUCUUCACACGCCCACCUUGGGUUGCCCAGUCAUCCGCGUUCCAUAGGCUGGCAUACACCCUCAUGGGUUGGCUCUUGGGAAAUGGGACUCCAGCAGCAUCAUUGUUAUUGAACACCCUUACUGGUAUGUUAUCUAUCAAGAAACUGCAGAGACAAAGAGCUUUAUAUAGGAACAGCAGAAAAACAUGAGAAAGGAAGAGAACCAAUUAAUGUUUAUGUUGGAUGCGUGACUUACAUAAUUCUUAGACUGUUCCAUACGAUGGUAUAGGUGUGGAAGGCUGCGGUAGGGUCAAACCAAAGGUGGAACUGCUGUUCUUUGUUUCCUUUCCCUUGUGAAUACACAUUGGUGUGAAUUGUGUAAGGGUUUCCCGUGGAGUUGCCCAAGAACUCGAAGUCGAUCUCAUCGUGACCCGCACCUUGUGAUGACAACUAAUGUGAUUUAAUACAAAGACAUGGUUAUUAUCAGCCUUUAAAAGAUUAAUACAAAUGAGUGAUCACAAUAUAUAUAUAAUUCAGAUAUGAAAUUCAAGAUUGGAACCGAUCGAUGGUACUCACGUAGAAUGUGGUGACGGUGCCAGCAGAAUUGCCUGGUACUAGUUUGAGUUGCAUGUCGAACCUUCCAAACAGGUACUCGUGCUUCGACUGGAAACCCGAUCCAGAGUAUUGGUCGAGUGAAAGUGAAAGAUCCUGACCUCCAUUCAGAAUUUUAGCACGUUCACCCCCAAAACUGAUGUCCAUGUCAUCGUAAAAACUCCCUGCUGAUGCUGCUACUAUUAGAAUUGAUAUUAAAAGAACAACUGCACAAAGAUUAGAGUUCGACUUUGCCAUUAUUGUUUGUAUGGAGAGAGAGAGANUCGACUUUGCCAUUAUUGUUUGUAAGGAGAGAGAGAGAGAGAGAGAGAGAGAGAGAGAGAGAGAGAGAUGUUAUGUUUGUGAGAAGUAGUACUGAUAUCGUUUAUAUAUGUAGGUGUGGCUACGUUGACAAUUUUCAACAGGAACCAUCCUUCUUACUGAAGGAUGUCAUGGUGGCUAAUGGAUGCAUCAACAUCUAUUAACGCGUGCCAACUCACAUUAUUCUUCUGGACAUGGGCAGGAGCGGUGGGUUUUUUUUUCUAUACGCCUGGCAACUCAAAAUAUGCAAAUUUGUCAUAUUUGGACCGGUGGUUGACAUCAUACGUAAAAUAAAAUUGUUUUAAUAAUUUGUAAGCUGGGAAAAUCAAAUCUUUAAAAACGCAUUUAAAACAUUUAUCAAUCGCAUUUAACACUAUUAAAAAAAACUAAUUAUAUAUAUGUCGGUAAAGGGAACCAUCCGCAGCAACGGACUACCAAUUGAUUAACCAUUUAAUACAUUUCGUCGACAAACACAUAUGAAAUCUUGCUAAAUUAUCAACAUUUUAUCCAUUUCGGUGUUAACACUUAUUGAUGAUAAAUCCGUACGCAAAUUCCCCAAAAAUUUUCCUUUUCAUUUAGUUUUAUUACAAAAUUCGUCCAUUUUAUCCAAAAUUUCGGUUUCCUUCUCCCUCCUCGGCUUCCCCUUUAAAUGAAAGCAUCACUUGUACGGAAUGGGAGAUUUAUAAGAAAUUGGUCAAACUCAACUUCAUUUACAUUGAAAAAAGAAACAUGGUAAGGAAAGCUACAAUAUGUUCUUUGAGAUUAUUAAUUUAUUCUUAGUCCAUUCAACACUCUCUAUUAUUAUAUUAUGUACAAUUAUAUUUCUUAAGUAUCACAUUCUUAAACUUUAUUAAAUGUCGUCAUAUAUUGAUUUCUUUAGAAAGGUUGAGAUCUUGGUUGAGUUCUUCAAUUUUUAGAAGGAAUGUAAAUUCGUGAUAAGCUUGAACAAGUACAUAGAUGUUAUAAUUUACUGUAGGUGUGAAACCGAAGAUGACAUUUGAGGUCGACCACACUCCUUAAAGAGGGAAACUUAGAAAUUUACAAUUAUUGGUUUUUUUGAGUUCUCAAAUGUGUUGCAAUCUAAAAUGCAUGUUUAUAGGGAAAUAAUAGCAGUUAAAAAAAUUUGUCUUAGUCAUAACCUUGUAAUGUUGAUAAUUGAAUAUUUAUAUAUUUUAUAGAUUUUUUUUUCUUAAAUUUCAUGGAUUCAUUGAAAGAAAUCAAGAAAAAAAAAAAGGUAUCAUGAAUGGGAUGAACAUUUAUCUACCAUGCGAACAUAAUGGAUAUCUACACGAGGAUUGAAAUUAUCGUAACAAAACAUUACAUUAGUCUGAAAACAACAUGAUAUUUAGUGUCAAACCGACAUCUAGUAAUUACAUAUGUCUGGUAUCUAUAAAUAUAUACCUAUAUAUCCAUCGGUGAAGGGAACCAAUAAUGAUAGACUUCUAAUUGAUCAACGAUUUAGUAAAGAUCGUAAACAAAGAUAUAUAAAAUCUCACUAAUAUAGCAAAUUUGUACCUGUUUAGGUGUUAACACUUAUAUGUUGAUGUCUAUUUGAGCCCAAUAUGCAAUUAUUGUAUUUUGUUUUAGUUUUCAUAUUUGCUCGCAUCUUCUGUAACAAAGUUAAAAUUCUGGACUAAAGUUUUAACACAAAUAGUACUUGUUUAGCAUUUUAGUACAACUUACACCUAAAGUUAUUGUGAAGUUUUUCCUUGUAGCCACUCCGCAACAGGAGUCCAUACUUUGUCUCUAUAACGACCAUGAAGUCGAAAUGAACACCAGACACCUCAAGUAACAAUCUCAUCGACAAACACAUAUGAAAUCUAUGUAAAUUUCCAACUUUUUUACCUAUUUCGGUGGUAACACUUAAUGAUGGUAAAACCGGAUGCAAAUUUCCCCAAACAUCUUCUUUUUCAUUAAGUUUCAUUACUAAAUUGAACCAAUUAAUCUAAAAUUGUGAUUUCCCUCUCCUUCCUCGGUUUUCCCUUUAAAUGAAAGCAUCACUUGUACGAAUAAGAGAUUUAUAAGAAAUGGAUCAAACGCAACUCUACUUGUAUUGAAGAAAGAAAUAUAGGAAGGAAACCUACAAUUUGUUUUUGGAGAUUAUUUAUUCUUAAUUCAUUAUACUUUAUCCAUUAUUAUAUUAUGGACAAUUAUAUUUUUAGCAAUCACAUUCUUAAUGUUAAUUAAAGGUUAUCAUAAAAAGAAAAGGUUGGGAUCUUGAUUGAGCUCUUGAAAUUUGGAAGGGAAAGUAAAUUCCUCAUAGGAUUGAUGUUGUGACUGCAACUUACUGUAGGUGUGAAAUUGAAGAUGUUGUUUGAGGACGAGGAACCUCUUUAAAGAGGCUACAUAAAAAAAUUACCAUUUAAUGGUGAUAACUAAAUAUUUAUAUUUGUUAUAGUUUUUUUCUUAUUUAACGGAUUUAUUGAAAGAAACCAAGAAAAAGAAUGGUAUCAUGAAUUGGAUGAACAUGUAUCUACCAUGUGAACAUAAUGGAUAUUUACUGGAGAGAUUGAAACUAUAGUAACAAAACAUUAGAUUAGUCUGAAAACAACAUGAUAUUUAGUUUCAAACUGACAUCUAAUAGUUAUGCAUGUCUCAAAUGUAUAAAUACAUACAAGCAUUAUUAGCUAUUCAACGUUGGCUUCCAGUUCAUUAAGGAUUUAAUACAAAUCAUCGACAAAUAUAUAUGAAAUCUUCCUGAUUUAGCACAUUUUUACCCAUUUUGGUGUUAAAACUUAUAUGUUGCAGUCUAUUUGAGCCUAAUAUGCAAUUAUUGUAUUUUUAUUAAGUUUUCAUUUGUGCUUGCAUCUUUUGUAACAAAGUUAAAAUUUCGGACCUUAAUUUUUAGAUAAAUACACUAAUAGAAAAAUAUCCUUUAAUGACAAGAAUUGCAUGUCAUAGAAGGAUACAUAUGACACGCAAAUGCGUGUAAAUGAAGGGCCUAUCAUAAAGGAAGACGACACGCAUUUAUGUGCCCUAACCAUACGACACGCAUUUACGACAUGCAAUGUGUAUCAUUAAUGACAAGAAUUGCAUGUCAUAGAAGGAUACAUAUGACACGCAAACGCGUGUCAAUGAAGGGCCUAUCAUAAAGGAAGACGACACGCAUUUAUGUGUCGUAACCAUACGACGUGCAUUUACGACAUGCAAUGUGUAUCAUUAAAGCCCCUGUCAUAAAGAAAGAUAAUUUUAAAGGUUUUAAAAAAAUAUUCUUUUGAAUGGAUUUAAUAAUUUUCAAAUUAGAUGACACCUAAUGUCUCAUAACAUAAAAUAGCAUAUCAUUAAAAAAAAAAGACAAUCCAUUUAAAAAUAUAUAGUAUGUCAAAUAAUAAUAAUCAUUCCAAUGCUUAAAUAAUGUAAUACAAAAACUAUUUCAUCAUAUCUUAUCAACUCCCCUAAGAAUACACCAUCUCCAAUUAAGACAUGUAUUCAGACCAAUUUACCUACCACAAAUGCAACAAUUGAAACAUGAGACCCAACCGAUCCUUUAUAUAGUCCCUUUGGUCCUUUAUCUUUCCAUAUUAGCCCAAUGACCUCUAAGAUUCAGAUGUGUUUCUUCAAUCCAUUUUUUGGUCGAUUCUAUGACACCAAAGUAUGCUACACCUAUUGCAAGACAUCCAGUUACCCCAGGUGCCUCGUCUCUAUAAAAACAAUACUAAAAAACUAAUAGCAAGUGAUAUAAUAUUAAAUGACUAAAUGUUUGAUUCGACUAGAGAUUCCAUCAAUGACAGUCACGUUUGUUUCUCCUUCAUUGCUCCAAGAUUCUUUUCCACUUUCAUUUAAUUUACCAAGAAUCCAAAUGGUUGCAAAUUAAGUAAAACAAGAUUAUUAAAAAAAAGGUUUCUUAUUUCUUUAAUGGGUUACAUAAAAGUCACCAUUUUAGAUUUCAUGGAUUCAUCUUCUAAGUUAUCACAACUGUUAUUAAUACAAAUAACAUGUAUAACAACCUACAUAGUUUUAUCUUCUAUUUCAAGAUGGUAAUAAAAUGGAGAAUCGAUUUGCUAAAUGCAUAGUAAUACCAUACAUUUACAAACUCCCCUAUAGAAAAUUUAGCAAGCAAAAGUAAACAUUCCAUGAAAAUAAACUGUCUAUAGUCUUUUUCGUAUUAGAAAGCACAAACCUAAUGGAAAAUUAAGAACGUUACCACUAAAACAUCAAAAAAAAAAAAAAAAAAAAAAAAAAAAAAAAAAACCUCGUCAAACUAAUUAAAAAGUAACAAUCGGAUUUUGUAACAAAUGAAAACAAUUUCCAAUCAUAAUCAAUAUUUCAAACCUAAAAAGUAUUUAAAAAAAUAAUAUAAUUAUAAAGCGAAUAAGUUAUUACCAUGUUAGAGAGAGAGAGAUCAGGUACAUUGUAGACUCGCUCAGGCGACAUCAAUGCUCACUCUAGUCUCCAGUAACGACAUGUACUCCGGCAAAGACAACUGCACAAUGGAGGGAAGAUUUUAGGCGGCCAAUUAAGUCAGAGGAGUCAUGAGAGAACGAGUGUUAAUGAAUAAGAAAGAGAGAAUAAGAAAUGAUGUGUGUAAACGACGAGAUUUAAUGAACCCUAGAAACCUAAGCACGAAUAUGUAUUGUGUUAAUAGGAAGGUUGGAGUGGAUACCAUGGCUGCAGAGCUGCAAAAAGAUGAAAGGGAGAUGCACAACUGCGAAAUGCCAUUAGGUUUUCUUCAGUAGAUGAUUUUAUAGAAGAAGGAGGAGACGCAUCAUAGACAUCCAAAUGACGAAUGGGAGAUGAUUAGAGAACAAGGCGCCGAGGUUUUUUAAUAUUUUGGGGAUUUCAUNNNNNNNNCCCCCCCCCCCCCCCCCCCCCCGCUAGUUAUUAAAGGAUUGGAAACGUGUGUCAUUCCUCAUGAAAACUUACAAAAUGACAUGCUUAUACGACAUGAUUUUCUUGAUAGGUACCCUCAAUUUUUUUUGUGACAUUAAUUUUAGGGCAUGCAACACUCUCUAUUAUUAUAUUAUGUACAAUUAUAUUUCUUAAGUAUCACAUUCUUAAACUUUAUUAAAAGUCGUCAUAUAUUGAUUUCUUUAGAAAGGUUGAGAUCUUGGUUGACUUCUUCAAUUUUUAGAAGGAAAGUAAAUUCGUGAUAAGCUUGAACAGGUACAUAGAUGUUAUAAUUUACUGUAGGUGUGAAACCGAAGAUGACAUUUGAGGUCGACCACACUUCUUAAAGAGGGUAACUAAGAAAUUUACCAUUAUUUGUUUUUUUGAGUUCUCAAAUGUGUUGCAAUCUAAAAUACAUGUUUACAGGGAAAUAAGAGCAGUUAAAACAAUUUGUCUUAGUCAUAACCUUGUAAUGUUGAUAAUUGAAUAUUUAUAUAUUUUAUUGAUUUUUUUUUCUUAAAUUUAAUGGAUUCAUUGAAAGAAAUCAAGAAAAAAAUGGUAUCAUGAAUGGGAUGAACAUUUAUCUACCAUGCGAACAUAAUGGAUAUCUACACGAGGAUUGAAAUUAUCGUAACAAAACAUUACAUUAGUCUGAAAACAGCAUGAUAUUUAGUGUCAAACCGACAUCUAGUAGUUACAUAUGUCUGGUAUCUAUAAAUAUAUACCUAUAUAUCCAUCGGUGAAGGGAACCAAUAAUGAUAGACUCCUAAUUGAUCAACGAUUUAGUAAAGAUCGUAAACAAAGAUAUAUAAAAUCUCGCUAAUAUAGCAAAUUUGUACCUGUUUAGGUGUUAACACUUAUAUGUUGAUGUCUAUUUGAGCCCAAUAUGCAAUUAUUGUAUUUUGUUUUAGUGUUCAUAUUUGCUCGCAUCUUCUGUAACAAAGUUAAAAUUCUAGACUAUAGUUUUAACACAAAUAGUACUUGUUUAGCUUUUUAGUACAACUUACACCUAAAGUUAGUGUGAAGUUUUUCCUUGUAGCCACUCCGCAACACGAGUCCAUGCUUUGUCUCUAUAGCGACCAUGAAGUCGAAAGGAACACCAGACACCUCAAGUAACAAUCUCAUCGACAAACACAUAUGAAAUCUCAGUAAAUUUCCAACUUUUUUACCUAUUUCGGUGGUAACACUUAAUGAUGAUAAAACCAUAUGCAAAUUUCCCCAAACAUCUUCUUUUUCAUUAAGUUUCAUUACUAAAUUCAACCAAUUAAUCUAAAAUUGUGAUUUCCCUCUCCUUCCUCGGUUUUCCCUUUAAAUGAAAGCAUCACUUGUACGAAUAAGAGAUUUAUAAGAAAUGGAUCAAACGCAACUCUACUUGUAUUGAAGAAAGAAAUAUAGGAAGGAAACCUACAAUUUGUUUUUCGAGAUUAUUUAUUCUAAAUUCAUUAUACUUUAUCCAUUAUUAUAUUAUGUACAAUUAUAUUUUUAGCAAUCACAUUCUUAAUGUUAAUUAAAGGUUAUCAUAAAAAGAAAAUGUUGGGAUCUUGAUUGAGCUCUUGAAAUUUGGAAGGGAAAGUAAAUUCCUCAUAGGAUUGAUGUUGUGACUGCAAUUUACUGUAGGUGUGAAAUUGAAGAUGUUGUUUGAGGACGAGGAACCUCUUCAAAGAGGCCACAUAAAAAAUUACCAUUUAAUGGUGAUAACUGAAUAUUUAUAUUUGUUAUAGUUUUUUUCUUAUUUAACGGAUUUAUUGAAAGAAACCAAGAAAAAAAAAUGGUAUCAUGAAUGGGAUGAACAUGUAUCUACCAUGUGAACAUAAUGGAUAUUUACUAGAGAGAUUGAAACUAUGGUAACAAAACAUUAGAUUAGUCUAAAAACAACAUGAUAUUUUGUUUCAAACUGACAUCUAAUAGUUAUGCAUGUCUCAAAUGUAUAAAUACAUACAAGCAUAUAUUAGCUAUUCAACGUUGGCUUCCGGUUCAUUAAGGAUUUAAUACAAAUCAUCGACAAAUAUAUAUGAAAUCUUCUUGAUUUAGCACAUUUUUAUCCAUUUUGGUGUUAAAACUUAUAUGUUGCAGUCUAUUUGAGCCUAAUAUGCAAUUAUUGUAUUUUUAUUAAGUUUUCAUUUGUGCUUGCAUCUUUUGUAACAAAGUUAAAAUUCCAGACCUUAAUUUUUAGAUAAAUACACUAACAGAAAAAUAUCCUUUAAUGACAAGAAUUGCAUGUCAUAGAAGGAUACAUAUGACACGCAAAUGCGUGUCAAUGAAGGGCCUAUCAUGAAGGAAGACGACACGCAUUUAUGUGUCGUAACCUUACGACGCACAUUUACGACAUGCAAACCCGACCCGAUACCUGAAUUUAAUUUGGGUCGGGUAACGGGUAUUUUUUUUAACAUGAAAAACCUGAAUUACCCGACCCAAAUUACCCGAAGCCCGAAAAAAUUACCCGAUCAACACCCCUAGACAAAAUAACCAUGGACUUUAUCCAGGGGUUACUCAAGUUCGAUGGAUAUGAUACCAUUUGGGUUGUGGUUGACCGACUUGGUAAGUAUACUCAUUUUAUUCCCCUCAAGCAUCCUUUCUCAGCAUCCACAGUUGCCAAAAGCUUCAUCAAGGAAAUCGCCCACCUCUACGGUUUUCCUCUAUAUAUAAUCAAUGAUUGAGAUCGUAAUUUUUUGUCACUGUUAAGUGGAGCUGUUUAAAUCACAUAGAGUGCAUCUCAAAAGAAGCACGACCUAUCACACACAAACAGAUGGUUAGAAGUGGUGAACCGACGUAUUUUUUAUGAAGAAACCAAAAAAAUGGGCUCGCUGACUUUUUUGGGCAGAAUUUUGGUAUAAUUCAUCCUUACAUACGGCCACCAAAUGCACCCCGCUUUGAGCCUUUUACGGUAGGAUUCACCCCCAUCAUCCGUUACGAAGGGCAAUAUCCUCGGUGGACGCAAUUGAUCAAUUGCUAUAAGACAUGGAUGCUAUUUUGGAUUGAGUUGUGCAUUUGUUGUGGACCCAACAAAAAAAUGCAAAACCAAGCUUAAAAGAAGACAAGGUAAGUGGAGUAUCAAGAAAGGGACUUGGUUUAGGUGAAAUUGAAACCGUAUCGACAACAAAGCUUGGGACGAAGAAAAUAUGAGAAAUUAGUCGCCCGUUACUAUGGCCCCUAUAGGAUUAGCAAGAGGGUUGGAAAGGUAGCUUACACCCUUGAAUUACCCCCGACAACUCUCAUCCACGCUUGAAAUAAAUAAUUUAUUAAUGUAUUAUGAGGUUACUAUAUUAAUUAUAAAUAGUAUUAUUUAAUUAAUAAUUAAUCAAAAAUUAAUUGGAAUUAAUUUUGGGAUUAAUUUGAUUAAUUAAAAGUAUAGGGAUUAAAUGUGACAAUAUUCAAAAGUUGUGCAUUGAAUAAUUCCAGAACCUUCCCAAAGAGGGGAUGGUUUUGGAGGAGGUUCCUUGGGCUUCUUGGAAGCCUUAGGAAGCCUUAGCGAGCAAAAAAAGGAUAAGGGUUAUCCAAGGAAAUCUGUCUUAUUCUGACUCCUUACUCGCACAUAUAAACCCCUCAUGGGAUUCAUAUUUUCGGCACUCCAUCUCUAAGAGCCUUAGAGCCAAAAUUGAUGCCCCUCUCCUUUCUCCUCUAAAGUCUUCUAUUGGUUUGGGUACAUACCAUUUGAGGCACAAUAUUUCUGGGGCUGGUUUUCUGAAGUUUGUUAAAGAAGGAAUUGUUGAUUAUUUCUUAGGUAUGUAAACCCUAAAACUCUUUAUGAAUUUUGAAAAGAGUAGAUCACUCCUAGGGUUCUUGAUGUUCAAUUGUUUGUUGCAAAUCAAUAGUGAAAACAUAGAUCAAUUAGGUUACUUGUGAACUUAGGGCUAAGUUUUUUCUGCCACAUCUUUUUUUUUUUUGUAACCUAUAAAAGGUAACAAAGAUAAGAUAGCUUCUCCCCCAAAAUUUAAGAGGUAAACUAGAUUGAAAGAUCAAGGAUCUAUGUAACAGCCCGGAAUUUCAGGUAUUGUUAUAUUUGUGAUUUUGGGUGUUUUAAGAGGGGACUCGGCGAGUUGGAGCCCAGACUCGCCGAGUAGGAUCGCGGAUCUGGUCGCAGGUUCGCGACUGGACUCGACGAGUCCGGAUAUGGACUCGGCGAGUCUGCGCUGUUUAGCGAAAACCCUAACCGUUCAGGUUUGGGACGUAUAUGAGGGACCUUAUGGCCGUCAUUGUUCACCCUAGUCCUCUGAGAGAAACCCUAAUUCGAUUGUGAGCAUCUGGAGCAAGGUAGAAGACCAUUGUUGAUUUUGGAAGUGUUGUUUUGCAAGGAAGAGGAGGCUUGGUUAAGGGAACAACAAGGGAAGCCACGUUCUGAGGAUUGGGGACACAGAGAGCACGUUAUUCAGGUAAUAUUUCGAGUUGCAUUCUUCUAUGUUGAUGUGUAUAUGGAUUUAGGGUUUAUUGAACCCUUUUGUGGCUAGAUUGAGUGUUACCUUAGUCCCCCAAACGAUUGGAACCCUGUAUUGGGAUCUUUGGAAGUCCAGAAUGUCCCAUGCCUGAGCAUUUCGUGAAUCAAUGGAGGUUUUGGAUUGGAAUCCUUAUGCCUUAGGUCAAAAUGUAAAUUAUGAGUCAUGGGGUGUAUUAUGAGCACCGAAAUGAGGACCUUACGUGAUGAAUCAGUCUAGGAAGGCCAGACCUAUGAAUGGUCGGAGCAGUUCUGACCUUAGAAAGCAGUUUGAGCGGUUGCAUGGCAUGGACUCGCCGAGUCCGAUGAACAGACUCGGCGAGUAGCUUGAAGAUUAACUGGGACUCGUCGAGUUGUUCUUCAGACUCGGCGAGUUGAGUCGGGGUGGCCCCGCGAUUCUUCCAGGAGAAACUCGUCGAGUCAAGGAGGAUACUCGACGAGUAGAAAGGGAAUCUUAGAGAAUUGGUGAGGACGUCUAGACUCGCCGAGUCGCCCUAGCACUCGCCGAGUCCGGUCAAGUUGACCGUUGACCGUUGACCGGUGUUGACCUAUGUCUGACUUCUUAGGGAUAGUCAAACUUAGAAGAUAAAAGUGUUAAUAAGAGAUGUAUGAUGUUAUAGGGAGAUUGUAGCUCGGCGGAUCGAGUACGAGUGACUUCGGGAUUUGCUAGCUUUCGACAUUCACGAGGUGAGUCUUCUCACUAUACUGUACCCGGAAGGGUUUGACUGUGUGACCGGAAGGUCGGAUAUGAUAUGAGAUAUAUGUGCUAUAUGUGAUAAGUUAAUUGUUAUACGUGCUAUGUAUGUUAUGUGGGCCGGAAGGCAUUAUGUUAUGGGCCGGAAGGCGAUUAUGUUAUGGGCCGGAAGGCGUUGUGUUGUGGACCGGAAGGUCGGCGUGGGUAGGACCGGAAGGUUUACCCAGCAGGGACGGAAGUCCCCUGAGACACAUGGACCGGAAGGUCAGGGCCUGGAAAGGCGUAUGUGCGUAAGUUGUAUAUUGGGGAACUCACUAAGCAUUUAUGCUUACAGUUGUUAUGUAUGUGUUUCAGGUACUAGCGAGGACCGUGGGAAGGCGCCGGCGUGAUCUGUACACACUGAAAGAUGUUUUGUGAUCUUGGGAUUUAGAUGAUUUGUAUUUUGACAUGACACUUGAAAUGUUUAUGCCUUGUUUUGAAUGAAAAUACUAUAAUUUGAAAUGAAAAUUUUGUUUGAAAAUUUACGGUGUUACAAUCUAGCAACAUUUAAAAUAUGCCUAUGUUUUCUAUCCACAACACCAUUCCAUUGUGAAGUGUGAACACAGGAUGUUUGAUGAAGAAUUUCUUUAGUUUCAAACAAAGAUCUCAUUUUAUUAUUUAAAAAUUAUGUCCUAUUAUCAGAUCUUACCGUUUUAAUUUUUACUUCAAAUUGAUUAAAAAGAAUAUUAAAGAAGACACAAAUACAAUCAUAAAUUUCAUCCUUAGACUUUAACACAUAAACCCAAGUAGCCCUUGUUAAGUCAUCCACAAUAGGCAAAAAAAAUAUCUAAAUCCUUCUCACAUAGUAACUCUAUAAGGACUCCAUACAUCACGGUGGAUUAACUAACCAAGUUUAGUAGUGACAUGUUGACUGGUGGGAAAUGACUCCCUAGUUUGUUUGGCUUUGUGACAUAUGUCACGAUGAAGAACAUCAUUCCCAAACUUAAGUUUGUUUAUUGAAGAAAUUAAAGCUUGAUCACAGGGAUGACCAAGCCUAUUAUGUCAGGUAAGUUUAGAGACACAACAAACAGAAAAAUUGGACACUUUAGAAUUGUUACCUAGAGGUACAUUAUCCAUAUAAUAGGGACCUCCAGACUAUCUACCAGUCCCUACCAUAUCCUUGGACUGUAAAUCCUAAAUUUUACAUGUAUGUUCAUUAUGGACAUAUAACAAGUUGACAUUAAAAUCAGGAACAUCGAAGACAUUAAAUAAGGUCAAGGAAUUAGAUACUUUCAAAUAUCCAAUUUUUUCAAUUUUAGUAGAAGUUCUAUUAGGAUGACUAACAAGAAGAUCUAGUUUAGAUACAUCCACAGUAUCAUGAAGAAGAGAUUCAGAGGAAUUAAAAGCCUUAACUAAGCAAGUAUUAUAUUAGCACUAGCAUAUGCUUCCUCAUUAGUUUGUUUAUCAUUAAUAAGUUGCAAAAAUCUAACAUACUAAUCCUUAGUGAGAUGAUGAUAUUCAAAAUCUCUAGAGACACAGGCAAACUAGAAGAACCAGACAUUCAAAAGAGGUAGUAGAAGAAUUCACAGAAUAAUUUCUAUUUGAAUUGUUAUUAGAUUCAUGUCUUGGUUUAAAAUCCUUAGGAUAUACAAUUAUUUUAUACCAAUUUUCAAUUGGAUGUCCUUUAAGACCACAAUUUUUACAUUGACCAACUUGAUUCUUACUCUUAUUAGAAUUAGUGGAAUUAAACUUAUUAUUAAAUCUGCUAGUAAAAGAAGAAGAUUGAGAUUUACACAAAGACUAAGAAGAUUGAGGAGUAGAUAAAGAACCAUUCUUUUGAAGAGACUUUUCCCUAGAUACUAUAGAUAAGGCGGUUUUCACAUUGGGUAAAGGAUCCAUAAGAAGAAUAUGACUCUUAACUUAACUAUAAGACUCAUCAAGACCACUUAGAUUUAUUAUAAGUUUCAAAAAGGUUUUUCCAAAUGUCCUCAGCCAUUAGAUUUAUUAUAAGUUUGAGUGAAUUAAUUUGCUGAUGAAUGUUGAAAACAACAGACCCAUUAGAUUUAUUAUAAGUUUCAAAAAGGUUUUUCCAAAUGUCCUCAGCCACUUCUGAAUAAACAUGACUAGCAUAGACGGAAUCAUAAAUGGGGGAAAGAAGCCAAGAACAUACAACAACAUUAGCCCUUUCCCAUUUUAAUUGUCUAGGUUGUUCAACGUUACCUUUUUUAAGAGUUUCAUCAACAAAUCCUAACUUAUUCCUAGCCUUAAGAGCUCUAGACAUAGACCUUCUCCACAACCUAAAGUUCUCAUUUCCAGUCAACUUUAUUGUAACAAUAGUUGUGACAAUAUUAGUCAACUUUAAUGUAACAAUAGUUAUGACAAUAUUAUCUGAAGGAUGAAUGUAGAGAGGAUUAUCAAAAUUAGUUGAAAUAUCCUUUCCAUUUCCUCCAUGAGUAUAAGUAGGGUCAUCCAUAGAAAUAGAUAAGACACAAACAACAAACACAUACAACUAUGACAACCAAAGUCCAGAAGGUCACCACGGUAUGUUAGGGCCCAAGAUAGUUGUCACAAUCAAAACAAGAACAAACGAUAGCAAGAAGGCAAACAUAUAACAAGAAGAGAUUGCAAUUAAUUGGUGUAUUCAAGACAACCAUAAACUCCUACAACCAAACUCAGAAAAAGAAUAAAAGAGAACAAGAAAACCUCAUAGAGGUCCAGAAGUUACUUUUGAUGUGCAGAGAUGACAAAUCGCCUCUCCUAAGGUUUCAUCCCAAUAGAGUUAUUUCAUAUACAAGGUCGAUAUGUUCUCAACAAUGAGUUAAUCAAAACCUAGAUCCGUUCUCUUAGAGGAUUAAUCAACAUCUAAUAAGAGAUUGAGCGAUUUUUGGAUAUAAAGAAGAUACGACGAGAACACUAGGAUGUGAAGGAUCUGCACCGAUCUGCAAAUCAAAACACAAAAAAAUCAUAGUACCAAAGAACUGGAAACGAAACCAAACUUAACAAGAAGUGAUCUCGUGAAAACCGAUCGACACAAAAGGAUGAUCAACAGAGAUCAACAGCGAAACCCAAGAUCUGACACUACAAGUGUCAAAUCUAUAAGGAAUGGAUAAAUAAGAAGCGAAAACAAGACAAGAACACGAACACAAACUUGAAACGAAACUCUUCGUAGGUCGUUGUAGACUUUAAUCGGAGCAACAAUUAAUCUAAUACCAUCUAAGAAAAGUAAAAACUCAAGAACUUCCCAACAUGAAUAGUUUAUUUAGUUCGUUUGUACAUCAAUACUUACAAAAGAAAUCCUCGCUACAUAACACUCACACUCUAAUGUAUACACAAAAUGAUUUUACUAUAAAGGGAAACGGCAGAACAAACCCUAGAUAAUACAGAAAACCCUAAUCAAGAGUUAGAGAGAAAAGAGAGAGCAAUCUACAAAAUGUAUCUAAUGAUUGAGACGAAGACCAACAAGCAUAUAUACCCGGGUCAUGAAAAUGACUCGAUCGAUGAACCCACAUUUGCAAUAAGAAAUUUACACAACCCCUGCACAAUAACAUCAAUAUAAAAAUAGACCAAACUAACCAGAAAUUAUAUAUAAAAAUGUUAAGUUUGAUAUAUAUAUAUAUAUAUAUAUAUAUANNNNNNNNNNNNNNNNNNNNNNNNNNNNCUACGUAUCCAUCGGUAAAGGGAACCAUCAACAAUGGCCUACCAAUUGAUUAACGAUUUAAUACAGAUCAUUAACAAACAUGUAUGAAAUCUUGCUAAAUUAGCAACUUCUUACCUAUUUCGGUGUUAACACUUAUAUGUUGAAGUGUAUUUGAGCCCAAUAUGCAAUUAUUAUAUUUUGUUUAUGUUUUCAUUUUUGCUUGCAUCUUCCGUAACAAACUUAAAAUUCCAAACUUUAAUUUUAACAUAAAUAGUACUUUUUUAUAUUUUUAGUACAACUUACACCUGAAGUUAUCGUGAAGUCUUUCCUUGUAGCCACUCUGCAACAAGGAGCUCAUGCUUUGUCUCUAUAGCGACAAUGAGGUCAAAAGGAAAGACUCCUCAACUAACAAUCUCGUCAACAAACAUAUAUGAAAUCUCGCUAAAUUAACAACUUUUUACCCAUUUUGGUGUUAUAUUGAUGAUAAAACUAAAUGCAAAUACCCCAAACAUCUUCCUUUUCAUUUAGUUUCAUUACCAAAUUCGUCCAUUUUAUCUAAAUUUUUGGUUUCCCUCUCCCUCCAUGGUUUCCCCUUUAAAUGAAAGCAUCACUUGUACGGAAUAGGAGAUUUAUAAGAAAUGGAUCAAACUCAACUCUAUGUACAUUGAAGAAAGAAAUAUGGGAAGAAGACCUAUAAUCUAUUUUUCGAGAUUAUUUAUUCUUGGUUCAUUACUCUAUCCAGUAUUAUAUUAUGUACAAUUAUAUUUCUUAACAAUCACAUUCUUAACGUUAAUUAAAAGUUGUCAUAUAAAGAAAAAGUUGGGAUCUUGAUUGAGUUCUUGAAAUUUGGCAGGGCAAGUAAAUUCAUCAUAGGCUUGAACAAGUACAUAGAUGUUGUGAAUACAAUUUACUGUAGGUGUGAAAUUGAAGAUGACGUUUGAGGACGAAGACGCUCCUUAAAGAGGGUAACUAAGAAAUUUACUGUUAUCAUCAGUCUUUUUGAGUUUGCAAAUAUGUUACAAUCCCAAAAGGAAUUUUAUAGGGAUAAUUGAAAUAUUUAUAUAUCCGUUAUAGUUUUUUUUUUUUUCUUAAAUUUAACGGAUUUGUUAAAAGAUACCAAGAAAAAAAAUGGUAUCUUGAACGGGAUGAAUAUGUAUCUACCAUGUGAGUGUAAUGGAUAUCUAUAGGGGAGAUUGAAACUAUCGUAACAAAAUAUUAGAUUAGUCUGAAAAAACAACAUGAUAUUUAGUGUCAAACCGACAUUUAAUAGUUAUGCAUGUCUCAAAUCUAUAAAUACGUACAAAUAGAUAUUGGCUAGGGUUCCGAACUGGAGCACCAAUUCAAAAUCAUCAUGGGGGUAAUUCGUUGCCUACUUCUGAUGUUAUGCCAUUUCCAAUGAAAUCGAAUCUCGCCUUCCAGCGAAAGACGAGCGUUGAUCGUUGAUUGACUGAAGCACAAAUAGCAGAAAAGAAAACUCGAGGUCUUUGCUUCAAAUGUUAUGAAAAUGGCAACCAGGUCAUCACUGUAAAACACAAGUCAAUGUGAUUUUUGUUAAUAAAGAGGAGAUGAAACUUUGUGAGGAGCAGAAGCAAGACUUUACACCCAAUGAAGGAGUUACAUUGGAAACUUUAGAAAUUGACCACCCAAUUGAGGUAUCUCUAAACUCUGUAGCAGGGCUCCCGUCCCUACAAACGAUGAAACUGCAAGAAAACAUCGUGAAUCAACUAGUGGUGGCCAUGAUUGAUCUCGAGGCCACCCAUAAUUUUAUUGCUAGAAGUUUGGUAUGGGGUUCGAAUGGGUAAUGGGGACAAUAAAGCAAGGAGGGGAGUAUGUAAGGGGGUGUUAUUGUAAAUAAAACAAAUCGACAUUAUCGAAGAGUUCUUACCCCUCCGAUUCGGAAGAUCCAACAUAAUCAGGGACGAACGGGACCUUAGGUACCACUCAAACCAAUUGGAAGGAUCAGACAAUGGAGUUCGACAUUGGAGGAAGGCGAGUCAAAUUGAAAGGAGACUCGUUUUGAAAGGAGACCCGACUUUGGGCAAGUCCCUGGUAUCCUUAAAAAAACUUGGAGAGAGAAUUACAUCAAAUAUGGGUUAAGGCGGAAGACAUACCCAAUACGACUUUUUGAUAUUACGAGUUCAAGGUGAUUCCCUUUGGCCCUACCAACGCCCCUGCUACUUUCCAAGCCUUAUUCAAUGAAAUAUUUCGGCCAUAUUUGCGGGAGCUCGUCCUUGUUUUCUUUGAUGACAUAUUGGUCUAUGAUGCUAGUAAAGAAAUGCAUCAAAGACAUCUCACAAUGGCGUAAGAAUGGUUACCAUAAAAUCAACCCUAUCUCAAAUUAAAGAAGUGUGAAUUUGGACAAUCAUGUCUAUCAUACCUUCGUCAUGAGAUUUCAAAUAAUGGGGUCUCGACGGAGACCAUCAAGAUUCAAGCCGUGUUAGAUUGGCCCGUACCACGAAACAUCAAGAGCUUAUGAGGUUUUUUUGGGACUAACGGGGUACCAUCAGAUGUUAUGCUAGCAUAGCCACACCUCUCACGGAGCAACUUAAAAAAAUACAAAUUUGGAUGGAACAAGGUUGUCGAAAAAGUCUUCAGCAACCGAAGACAACAUGACAAUCAUGUUGUUUUUAGCAAUGUCGGAGACGGAGAAACCCUUCGUGGUUGAAACCGACACGUCGAGGUACGAACUUGGGGCGGUUCUAAUCCAAUAUAAUAGGUCAAUAGCUUAUUAUAGUUGCACUUUGGGAACCAUAGGCCGAUCAAAACCUAUUUAUGAAAAAGAGUUUAUAGCCAUUGUUAAAGCCGUAUUGAAGUGGAGGCAUUACAUAAUGGGAAGAAGAUUCAUCGUUCGAACGGAUCAACUUAGUCUCAAGUACACGUGUUAUAGGUCACAAUUAUCAAAAAUGGGUGUGUUGAAGCUAAUAGGGUUUACUUUUGAAAUUUAAUAUUGAUCCGGAGCUACUAGGGGUGUUCGUUUGCAUGGAUCGGUUCAAUCCGAUUCAAUCAAGUGAAUCCAAAUUAAUUUCGGUUUUUAAAACAUAGAUCCAAAUAGUCCAAACUAAAUUCAAAUUCAAUCUGAUCCAAUCGAAUUACAAUUCGAUUGGAUCGAUUUUUAUAAUUCGGUUUUCAAAAUUUGGAAUAAUUUUUUUAAAAGCACAUAUAAUUAGAAUACUACCCAACUUUAUAAAAGAAAAAAAAAACAAAUAUCUUAUUUGUGGUUUAAAGUUACGAACAACUACUAAAAAUAUAUUAAAGCUUAAUAUUUUAUAAAUAAAAACUAUUUUUAGAAAAUACAUAUUAAGAUUUUUUAUUAAGUGAAAUUUCUUGAAAAAAAAGUAAAAAAAAUAAUAAAUAAUUAUAGAUAUAUAUUCAAAAUAAAUAAAUAACAAAUUUUUAUUUGGUUUUUUUGGAGUAUUCGGUUCUUAUUUUAUAAACCAAAAUCAAUCUGAAAUCCAAAAUAAUAAUUCGGUUUUGUUGAAACUCAAUCAAAAAAUCUGAAUAUCCGAACCAAAGAGUCUAAUCCAAAUUAUCAAAUUGGAAAAUUCGGUUUUAUCCAAAUAAUCCACAAUUCUCUGAUCAUACGGGCAAGAAAAAGACUUACCAAAUAACAGCGGUAUGGGUUUCUUGGCCAAGAAUGCAAGUCGACAUCAUCGAAUAUAUCAGAAACGUGUCAGAGAAACAAAACCCUCGCAUCGACUCCAAUCGGGUUACUUUAAGCAAUACCUCUUUCGGCCCAAACAUUGGACAAAAUUAGCCCUGUCGAAAAUACUCGAUACUCGAAUUACCCGCUUGAUUUUUUCGGAUAAUCGAGUAACCCGAUUUUUUCAAGUCAGGUAAAGGGUACGUUUGUUGGGUUUCGGGUAUACCCGAAUUAUUUUAAAAUUUCUUUUUUUUCAUAGAGCUUGUACUCUGUAGCAGGUAUUUAAUCACGCUUAAACUAACUAUCAUUAUUGUAAAACAUGAAUCUCUUUUAUUAUGACAAUAUGACACUAGCAAUAUUAAAAGUAAUUGUUUACAUAUAAUCAUGUUCUUUAAAACUUAACAAUUUUCUAGAUUAUAGUUUUUUAUUGCAACUAACAAACUCAUUAUCUUGACGAAACUUCAGAACAUGGCAAAAAUUAUGGCUACAAUUAUUUUAAACAUUUUAAACUUUUAAAUUAAAAUCUUUAAGUAUUUGUUUUUUAACAUUUUAUUAGAUUAGAUUAAGUUGUUAAAAAAUUACUUGAUAUCUCAGGUAAUAUUGACUAAAAAAUCUCAAUAUUCAAAGCUUGAGUAACUUCAUUUAUGGCUCGUUUAUUUAUAUAAACAAGACUAGUAAAGCACGACAUAUUUAUUUCAUUAAAUUUAUUUUCAGGUGAAAUUCAAAAAAAAACAUUAUAUAUUUCGGAUAAUACCCGAAUUUAAUUUGGGUCAGGUUACGAGUAUUUUUUAACAUGAAAAACCUGAAUUACCCGACCCAAAUUACCCGAAACCCGAAAAAAUUACCCGAUCAACACCCCUAGACAAAAUAACCAUGGACUUUAUCAAGGGGUUACUCAAGUUCGAUGGAUAGGAUACCAUUUGGGUUGUGGUUGACCAACUUGGUAAGUAUACUCAUUUUAGUCUGGAGUUGCCAACAGCUUCAUCAAGGAAAUCGCCCGCCUCUACGGUUUUCCUCUAUAUAUAAUCAAUGAUUGAGAUCGUAAUUUUUUGUCACUUUUAAGUGGAGCUGUUUAAAUCACAUAGAGUGCAUCUCAAAAGAAGCACGACCUAUCACACACAAACAGAUGGUUAGAAGUGGUGAACCGACGUAUUUUUUAUGAAGAAACCAAAAAAUGGGCUCGCUGACUUUUUUGGGCAGAAUUUUGGUAUAAUUCAUCCUUACAUACGGCCACCAAAUGCACCCCGCUUUGAGCCUUUUACGGUAGGAUUCACCCCCAUCAUCCUUUACGAAGGGCAAUAUCCUCGGUGGACGCAAUUGAUCAAUUGCUAUAAGACAUGGAUGCUAUUUUGGAUUGAGUUGUGCAUUUGUUGUGGACCCAACAAAAAAUGCAAAACCAAGCUUAAAAGAAGACAAGGGAAGUAGAGUAUCAAGAAAGGGACUUUGUUUAGGUGAAAUUGAAACCGUAUCGACAACAAAGCUUGGGACGAAGAAAAUAUGAGAAAUUAGCCGCCCGUUACUACGGCCCCUAUAGGAUUAGCAAGAGGGUUGGAAAGGUAGCUUACACCCUUGAAUUACCCCCGACAACUCUCAUCCACCCUACAUUUCACGUGUCACAAUUGCAAACCGCAUAUAGGUCCCAGUAAACCCACGUAUCUUCCUCCUCAACUAAAUAUAGACCUUGAAUUACUUGUCCAACGAACGGCUCUACAAGGAGUAAGACCAAAGAAUGGGAGCAACUUCGGUGAAAAAGAAGUAUCGAUGCGUUGGCAAGGACUAACAGAAGCUGAUGGAAAGAAUGAAAUUGCAAUUCCCGACUUUUCACCUUGAGGAAAAGGUGAAAGUUUGGGUCGCCGGUAAUGAUAAACCCCCCGUUAUUCAUGUCUACAAGAGGAAGUUUGGAAGGCCCAAGAAAGACCCAACAAAGUAAUUAUUUCCGAGCCCAUCUCUCUUUUUGCUGAUUGGACCAGAUUGCCCCUAUGAAUAACUUGGUUUGUCGUGUGUGAUUGGUAAAAACCCUUACGGUUGUGCUCCUCCCAUUUUUAGGUGUGUAGCAGGAAACACACUUUUUGGUAUGGUCUGCUGAGUUGGCAUAAAAGUUGAGUAUCCAAAGGAUUGAAAUGAUUAAUCUUUAAGCUGCCUUUUGUGUUCAUUCUACUAUUCCAUUACUUUGAGAUUGACCGAGUGUAAGCAAGUCCAUAUCAACAAGUUGUAAUCUUUCUUAUGCUUUCAUAUAAUUGCAAUUUGCUCUAUUUAUUAUCAUUCAUGCUAGAUAUGACUAUCAUAAUUAUAAUGCACUCAGGCAUGGAAUGUGUAUGGGGUUCUAAAAUUCUUGCAAGCAUUGAUCGAGAAAUCUUCAAUCAUUCAGAUAUUAGAGCAGGAAAAAGGAGUUGAACAGCUUACAAGUUACAACUACAGAUGGAUAUGAUGAUAAUGGUGGAAGUAGUGUCCUAAAAGUAGUACGGGGUUACUUCAACAUGGUUGAGUUGAAUUCUGAUUUCCCAAAAUUUCCUGAAGUGAUGCUCAAACCUUUUACUGAGUGGUACAUUAGAGAAGCUAGUGUGAUGAUUCUUGAAAGAAACCUUGCACAUGUAGUAUUUUGAUUAUCAAACAUUGAAAUGUGAGUUAUAGAAUUGAAAGCUUCAUAGUAUUUCACCUGAAUCUAGCAAAGGUUAUCACAUAAAUGAUCAUAACAAACAAAAGCCCGAUGCUAAAUCAUAAUAAUAGAAGAAUAAGGCACAAACUACUGAUGCAUACCUUUUUUUCUGAGCAGAUGCACAUGCAGCAAAAGAUGGUCAAAAUAUGAUCUUUCUGGCCCAUUCUUGUAGACAAAAUAAGAGGACUUCUCCAUUGCACAACUUUUUUUUUCAAAUACAACAUCAUAUUCAACUUUUGUCCCUGGUCAUAUUCCAUUCAACAUCAGAAUCAUCACUAGGUUCAGAGAUUCCUGUAAAGAUAUCAUCAGUAAUAUCAUCUAUGUAGAUUCGUGGCCCCAAAUCCUUCUUCACAAAAGUAUUCUUCUUUGGGGCUUCCCUACUAUUAAAAUGGUUCUGAACAUUACUUGAGGCGUCAUGGAGAGGUGAAAAAGGUGUCCACUUUGAGUUCGUUCUAGCUGUUUUUGGCAGAUGUGAGAUUGAAACCCCUAAAGGGUAGUAUCCCCAACAAUAGAAAUAGUCUUCCUGGCCUUCUGCCAUUAAUGGUGGGGAGGAAAUACCUACAGCCUGAAAUGCCCUUUUACAGUUGUCACAACGGAUGGUGCACUCUGCAUAGAUCCUUUGAUACUCAUACAUGUAGAAACAGUAAGGACAUGCAGUCCAAAAUGUAGGCGACUCAUCCAUAUUCACAGCUUCUGUUUCUGUUUCCUUCUUCUUUACACCAUUGUCACUAUUAACCUGAUUAGGAGAGUGAACAGGACCAGCAUUUUGUUCUACCCAUGCUUCUUGUUGUUGGGGCUGCAAUGGAGGUUGCUGUUUCUGGUGUGGCUGCUGUGGCUGUGACAGAGAUGGUGCUUGUGGCCAAGAUAACGGAGGUUGUGGUGGUGCUGCAGGAGGCGGAGUUAUGGAUUGCAUAGAUGGCUGCGGCUGAGGAGAUUGUGGUGGAUUUUGUUGAUACGGUGUAGACAUGACUUCUAAAGGUUCAACCUGUGGCUGAAACAAUUGCUCCUGCUCAUGAUGCUGAAACAAUUGCUCAUCCUCCUCGUGAACAGGUGCAGAUUGAUUUCGUGACAGAAAAUUAUGCUGCUGCGAUUCCUGCUGUUGAUGAGUGCGUUGUACCCUAGUUUGAAACGUCUGCUCUUGCUCCGGCGAUUUCUGCUGAUGAUCCGACCCCAUAUAGUCAAUCGAAAAAAAAUUGUGUUGUUCUUGCUGCUGCUGCUGCUGUUCCUCGAGGUUAAACCCUAUAGUGUUCAUCUGCAGUUGCGGCGGAAAAUCAAGCUCCGAAUCAUACAUAGAUUUCCUCAUAGGGUUCGACAACACGGACCAAGCUUCGUUAACAAUCUGAAACGCUUGAUCGGAGAAAGGGAACCGAUUUUGAUGAGGGUUGAGGAUGAAGGCGAGCCGUUGGUACUGGGAGGCGAUGUGGUCCGUGUCCUGAACAAACCGGACCAGUUGAAGGAUCCCGUAAAAAUCCGGCUGCUGCACGCCAUUAUUUCCGACGACCUGUUUCUCGGCAGCGAUGAGCGUAUCAACAACUGCUAGGAUCUGAUCAGCAGCUUCAAGUCUGGGGUCAGACUCUCGUGCUCGGAUCGCAAAUGUCUUGGAGCCGACUAGGUCGUGGCUCAUAAGCAGUUUCUCGGCGAUACCGAGCCACCGUUGCGCCUCCGCCCGUGCUAUGAAGAUAUGGGGAUCCAUAGUUUCUACCCGGAUCAAAGUGCUUGUCUAUCUAAAAAUCAAACCACACUCUGAAAGUGCUCAUUUAGGCCGUUGGUGGGGGGUAAGACAAAAGUUGUAAAGGGUGGCCUCAAAUGGGUGGGGGUAGCAUCUUUUUAUAGAGAUCUUUUUAUAGAAGAAGAUGUGAUGGUUUGAUUAAAACAAAAUGUUAAGUACGAACGAUUAAAUAAAAAAUUUAUUUGAAUUUGAAAUUGAAAUAAGUGAAAAUUAUCAGAAAAAAAAACAUGUAAAAAAUAAAUAAAUUAAAAUUAUGUGUUUAGUGUGUACUAAACGGGUUAAUUAUAAAAAAAUGUUAAACUUAAAGGUUUAAACUGUAAAUUUAUUUGAAAUUGAAUUUGAAAUUUAAAAUUUGAAAUUAAUAGUCAUUAUGGUAGGUUUAAUUUAUGGAAACUAAAUUAAUGAUAUAUUGAAAAUGAAAAUUAAAGUAAUGACAAGUGGAAAAUAAAUAUAUCUCAAAUUAUGACAAAAUGAUAUGUGGCUAAUUUUAUGAGAGAAUGACAUGUGGCAAAGUCAUUUUCAUUUAUUAUGGUAGAUAUGAUAUAUGAUAUUUCAUUUAAGAAAUUGGUUGCAAUUAUUAUAUUAUGAAAUUUUCAUAAAAGUACUUAAAUUUAAUAGACUAAAUUACUGAAAUGGUCCCUAUGGUUUGGUCAAAAUUACACGUUUGGUCCCUAACUUUUUUUUUGCACUCGGAUCGUCCCUGUGGUUUGAUUUUGUUGCGUUUUUCGUCCUUAUGGUUUGGUCAAAAUUGCACGUUUUGGUCCCUAACUUUAUGUAUGUAAGGGACGAAAAACGCAACAAAACCAAACCACAGAGACGAUCCGAGUGCAAAAAAAAGUUAGGGACCAAACGUGUAAUUUUGACCAAACCAUAGGGACCAUUUCAGUAAUUUACUCAAUUUAAUAAAAGUUAAUGUUUAAGUUUUACUUUUUUAUUAAUAUAAAAACUCAAGAAAUCAGUUAAUUUUUUCAUUUUAGUCGAUUAUGACAUUUUCAACAUGUUGAUUGCGGAGGUGGAUUGUCAAGCUUUGGGGAGUGGCUCGCGCUACCCAGAUCGCCAAGGCACACUAGAGGAACUAAACACCGCCCUCUGGCUUGGCUUGUGCAAGGGAGCUCAUCGGAAUGAACUCGUCAGGCCGAGAGAGAGAGAGAGAGAGAGAGAGAGAGCUUUUGUUUGGUGGUUGGCAUUUGACUAGGAAUAAACACAAUUUUGACCAACUUUAUUAUUAUUAAUAAUAAUAAUAAUAAUAAUAAUAAUAAUAAUAAUAAUCAACAAUUUUGUAUUAGAAAAAAAAAAAAGAGCCGUUGUUUUUUCAAAAUUUCAAAUUUUGAGCAUCUCUUCCAACCACUAUAAAUGGACACUUAAACCUCAACAUUUCACCACACACAAUACCAUUCUUUUCUGUCAAAAAAACUUCUCAAUUUACCAAAAUCAAUGUCUUGACCUAGCCAAACCAAAACGCCAAGGAGAAACAAUAAAUAAAUAAUCAACCCUAACAACACAUCUUCACCAAAUUUUUCAUCACCGACUUGUUAUCAACAUUCACUCAAUCAAACCAUCCACUACCCGCUAGUUAUUAUUAUUCGAUUAUCGCUUCACGGUUGUAUCCAUUCCAUUCAUACUCUUCUCGAUUCCAAUCUCAACCCAUACCAUUUUUCCAAUCCCAGCCCCAAACAAAUUUUCAAUCCCAACCCUUACCCGAUCCAAAUCUAGAACUUGAUAUGUUUGAUUCGGUACAAAAAAAAAAACCCAAUUCGUUUCCCAACCCUUACCCCACACAAAUUUCCAAUCUGAACCCCACCGCCUAGUCGAUGAGUCUACCGAUUGUCUCGAUGGAUUGUCUCGAUGGAGGAGAUUUUCAACAUGUUCAAGAAACCGAAGUUGACCCAAAGGAAAAAUAAAUAAAUAAAUAAAUAAAAACAAGGACAAAAUGCCAAGGAUAGACAGAUAAAGAAAAGAAGGCAUUGGCACAAGCAUGACUAGAUGUAAGGGAGGAUCCCGCGACGGGAGACUACCAAAGUGGCCCAACUUUUAAAUUUAGAGUUUGGAAAGGGUUUUGUACCCAAAUGAAUAAGGAGGACCGCUCCACUAGUCAAAAUAUACUCGAAAUAGAGAACCCCGAAUAGAAAUUCAAUGGAGUUCAGUGUCAUCUACAUGAACGCGACUCGCAACUUGCAAAGCGGUGCAAAUGAGGUGAUGUCAUAGCAAAAUCUCGUCACAUUUAUUAGGUUAAAGUUGGUAUAGCUUUUGCAAAUGAGGAUUUUUGGGAAGUUGUGAAGAACAAACCAAAUCGUUUGCUCUAAAAAGUGUUGAUGAUUUUAUGGGUAUGUCCAAACAAAUCAAAACUUCCGAGUCAACCCAUAGUCAAUCUUCUGAUACACAUAUUGAGAUUGACCUCAACAACGACGAUCCAUAUGAAGUGCCAACUCGUCCUAUGGGACGAGAUAAAUCCAAAAGGAAGUUAAAAGGUGCUCAAAAUUCAUCGAAUGAAGUGGAGGAGAUGAGCAACGAGAUCCAUGGGUUGGACAGUAUGUAACAUCCCAACCGUCAUGUAUCAUUAUCACUCCAUUUAAAUUUUAUGUUCUAAAGUCUACUCGACAAGUUGACGCUGUGACUCGUCGAGUAACAGUGGGACGGGACACGUUAAUUAAUGAGUGACUCACCGAGUCGGCAUGGGGGACUCGACGAGUAGGAGCUGGCAGUGGAAAACCUAAUUUUCAGGGUUUUUGCACCAUAUAUAUUGGACCAUUAGCGCCUCCCACUGCCCUCCAUCACCCCUUGAGACCCAUAAACCCUAAUUUCCAUGAGUGAGAGCAUGGAGAGUGUCUUGGGGCUUUGAGAAGUGACUUUUGGGAAGGAAAUUUGUAGAUCAAGAGGCUAGCAUCAAGACUUCUAUGUUGAUCCAGAUUCUACUUCAGUGUGGGCGCAUUUUGGAGGUAACCAGCUGUUACCUUAACCUCUUUUCUUCUAGAAUCAUUCAUAUGUGGAAUCUAGGGGUUUCUUUAGUUAUUCAUGAAGGGAUUUUUGGUAUAGGAGCUAGAUCUGAAGUUGAAACUUCAGAUCUGAACCUCUUUUGAGUCCUAAGUCCAUAAAGUUUCCAGCUCUUGCAAGGAUGAGACUCUCCCAAGGUGUAAAGCUCCAUUAGAAGCUUAGAUUGGUCAUUUAGAGCCUUUAGGGCCUUGCAUGUGCGUAAAUUUUGCAACUUUACGUGAUAAACAUGCCUUAGAAGCUUGGAUCUGUAAUCUGGAACCUUGGCAUGGCUUAAAAAGUGUCUGCAUGGAUGAAGGUCUGCAAAGGACUCAGCGAGUUACAUAGUCAACUCGGCGAGUCAUAUGACGAUGGUCAUGAACUCGCCGAGUUGAUGAACAAACUCGACGAGUCCGUUGAAUAUUGCCUUGAACUCGUCGAGUCGUUCGAAGACUCGGCGAGUCGGCUAGGUUUUCUCCCAAAUUCUUGGACACGUAUGAACUCGGCGAGUUAAAGGGGAACUCGACGAGCCAAUCAAGGAUUUCACGACUUCUCGAGUUUAGGAAGGACCCGACGAGUCGGUGAACUACACUCGACGAGUCGAGUCAACAUGGACUGUUGACUUUAACUGUGGACUUUGACUUUGACCAAGAGUUGACCAGUUGACUUAUGAGGGUAUUCUGGUAAUUUGGAGAUUUAUGAAAAAGGGUUUUAUGGUAACUAUAGGUGGUGGAGUUCGUGUUGGCAAUCUGGAAGUUGAGCUUUCUAGUUUCAGACGUCAUUAGCGAGGUGAGUUUUCCUCACUAUACUCAAGGGUCUAAGGUACCAAGGCCGACCCUUUGAUUGUUAUAUGGUUAUGUUAUGCUAGUAUGAUUUGUUAGAUUGGUAUCCUAGAGGGUAGGAUAAUAUUGUAUGAUGUGUGGUAUGAUCUGUUAGAUCAAGUAUUGUCUAUAGACUGUAUGUGAUUACCUGUUAUAUGUGCACGUGUGUGUUUAGCGGUUGAGGCUUAUCUGCUCUGUGCGAAGGCCAAUAGACCUGGGCAUUCCAACCUGUAGGUCGUGGGCCGUGAGCAUUCCAUCCCGAGGAUGAUUGGACUCAUAGUGUGUGCGUAUUCCAACCUGUUGGUUAUGGGCUUGUGGUAUUCCAUCCCGAGGAUGAUUGGACCCAUAGUGCGUUGGCAUUCCAAUCGGAUGGUUGAGGGCCUAGGUUAUUCCAACCUGAUGGUUGACCGGACCCAUAGUAUAUUGUUUAUGAUUAUAUGUGUAUGGAUGUGGGUAUGGGUAUUUUGGGAGGACUCACUAAGCUCUCGGGAUUACAGUUUCAAGUUUAUUGUUUCAGGUACAUCAGGGGAUCGCGGUAAGGCGAAGGCAUGAUCGUACAGCUCCUCAUGUUUUGUCUAUGUUUCUGGGAAAAACUCUGAUAUUAUACAUUUUGAAAACAAAGUUGUAAUGAUUUUUAAUGGUUUGAAAUGUUUUUAAAAGUUUAAAUUAGUUUGAAUUUUGGGUGUUACACAGUAAGCUCGAAAAAUAUUUUGAACUGGGAAAGAAAAGAGAAAGCCACUGUGUGCUAAAGCUUUUUUUCAAAAAUGAAGAAAAAUUGUCUGAAAAGGAUCAUUGGAUUGUUGCAAAUGUAAAGGCGGAGAUUGCAAAAUAAUAUAAUUGGGAUAAGUAGUAUGAUUUAUGUCUUUAAUCUAAAUUUAAAUUAUGUUUUAGUAUUGAGUCGUGUUUUAAUUUUUAGGUAUUAAGUCAUGCUUUUUAGAUAUUAAGUCAUGUUUUUAGGUAUUAAGUCGUGUUUUUAGGUAUUAAAUUGUGUUUUAAUUUAUGAAGUCAUCUUUUAAUUUUUAUUCUAUUGUAACCUUUUUAUUUAAUAUUAAAUGUUUGUUUUUUUAUAAAAACAUAAUGUUACAUCCUCUAAUUUUCAGAACCAAAAAGAACUCUUUUUACGCUUUAAAAAUCAUAAUAAUUUAUUUAUGGGAAAUCUCAGUAUUUUAAAAACUUUUUUCAGUACAAUUAUUGUCUCAAAUAAAAUCCUAAGGAUGUCAUAAAUCGAUACAUUACAUAUGUUACAGCGUAAAGACCCAAUGGUCCUGAACAAUAUUGCAGGUCCUUUAUUCAAUCAUGCAGUAUCCUAUUUAAGUCUUCAGCAGUCUAAACAUCGCUACCUAUGAUGCAUAUAUAAUGAGUGGGUAGCCUUGGAUGGAUUUCUAUGGUUCUAGAGGAUCUAGAAUAUCCAAAAUUAUCCUUAGAGGAUAAUUACGAAACCAGAUAAAUACCAAAAGUAAGAUAAUGUUAUUUUAUUGUUUUGGGAGUUAUCUAGGGUUUUUCGGUAAAUUAUAUAAAGACCCUUAAGCCUCAUAUUUUCGUCCAAGAAUUCUUAGAGAAGCUAGGGCCAAAAUUCUACCUCUCUCCUCUCUCUCUUCAAGCUCCUUGGUCGCUAGGGUUUGGGUGUGAACCAUUAGAGGCACGAAAUUUUUGGUUCUUUGUAACACCCCGAAUUCAGAAAACCAAGAAAGGAAGGGAAAACCCUAAGUCAAGUAGUCUACUCAUCGAGUCCAAGGAAGAAGUCGACGAGUGGGAGCGAGUUCCGUGUCGCGAAUUAAGUGGCCAACUCGACGAGUCGGGGGACUGACUCGGCGAGUCUAGUCUGGUUGGGAAACCCUAAUUUCGGGACUUGGUGCCCUAUUUAAGCAUCUCAUUCCCAUUUCCUCAGCCUCCUGAAUGCUCUCUCAAGACCAGAACGAAACCCUAGAGCCUCCCUUGAGUUUGUGAGUCAUUUUGUGAGAUUUUGAGCAUUCUUGAAGCUUGGAAGAACAAGAAGAAGGUUGGAGGUUCAAGAAGGAAGGAGUAGAUCCAGAAGAUACACCCCAUUUGCUGCACUUAAUGGUAAUCAAGUCUUCAUCUUGACUUCUAGUUUGUUUGAUCUCUUUAUAGCCCUUUUUAUGAAGUUUUUGGACCAAGAAUGAUUACUUGUGGGAUUUGGACGUCCCAAGCAUAGAUCCUUUCAGAUCUGAGAGCAUUUAGAGUGGUUAAGGCAUAAAGGUGGAAGCUUUAUGCCAUUAUAACUCCCCAUGAAAAGUUAGGCAAGGCCUUAGAUCAGAGUACAGUUAAAGUAUGUCUAUGUAUGUUAUUUGAUUGUAUGUAUGCAUGUAGCGGGCGAGGCCCGGAGACAAGAGGGGCCUAAAGGAGACAGAUCUGUAUACCGAGCGGGGCUCGAUGCCAGGUGGGACUUGAUGUCAGGCGGGGCUUGAUGCUGGGCGGGGCCUAGUACGUGGUUAUAUGUAUGUAGUUAUGUGUAUGUGGUAUGUGGUAGGUUGGGGAAAUCACUAAGCUUCGUGCUUACAGUUUUCAGUUUUAGUUUCAGGUACUUUCGGUAGCGGAGGGAGGAGCUCAAGGUGAUCACAUGGCACACACCAUUAUUUGUUUAGCCUGGGAUGUUUUACUCUGGUAUAAAAAGAAUAUGUUUUGUGAUUAUACUUUGAUUGGAUAUAACAGUUUUGCUUAUAAAUGAAAUGUUUUAUAAUUAUGGAUUUUAUUAAUGUUUUAAAAAGAAAUUUUUGGUCAUGAUUUUUGGGAUGUUACAAGUUGGUAUCAGAUCCUUGGUUUGAGGGAUUCAGAUACACUCUCGGGUGUGUCUGAACUCAAACUGAGGACGUGGUAUGAAAGUUUUCAAAAGGAAAUCAUUUUUAUAAAAGAACUUUGAAAAAGGGAAAAGAAUUUUGAAAAAGAGAAAAUGACUUGGAAAAGAGAAAAGAAUUUGAAAAGACAAAAGAACUUUCAGAAAGAGAAAAGGGUGUGGUACAUGUAAUUAGCCGAGCUCAAGUAAGUACCCCAAAGUACCCAUACAAGUUUGAUAUGAUAUGUUAUGAUAUGCUUAUGAUAUUUGCAUGCUAGAUUAAGAUUAAGGAUCUAGGGAGGAUGCCUUAUGUGCCUGCUAUAUGUGUUUCAGCUUUAUGAGAACUGCAUGCUAGUACAGAUUAGUCAGGAUGAUAGCCUGCGUAGUAUAUGCUUGAUUAUGUGUACUCGACAUGCGAAUGUUGCUUGCUUGGUGCUUUUAGGAGUUCUAGUUUUCUUUCACUAACUAGUAAACGAAUAUGUUAAGUUACAUAUUGCAAGGACUAAAUAAUUUCAGAAGGUUAGGUCUAGCUCUGUUUUCACAGCUCUCAUCUGAGUCCAACUGUUGUAGGGCAGGAUCUCUCAUUCGAAGAAUUAUCUGGUCUGAGUAAUAUGUAAUAGUAUUCACGAGCUAGUUAGGGGAAGAAAGCAGGUACUUCUUAUGCAGCUGAUGGCGGAGAGUGGGAUGGUGAUUACCCUAGGGUAAGCCUAGGAUGAGAGUAGCAGAGAGCAGUAGCAGUAGAAGGGACUUGGUGGAGUCGAGGCAGCUCUUGAGGAAAGUACGGAUAGAUGUGGAAGGUAGUAUGGGCAUGUACUACUAGAAGCAGAGGAUCCGUACUCGAUUCAAGAGGGGCUAAGAUAAAACCAUGGAACUUGUAGUGCGUGUGUGACCCCUCGUUGGUGAUGAGUAUUCGGAUGGUGGUUAUGAUAUAUUUUCAGCAUGGUGACGUUGUGUGAGAGACCAGUGGGCGGAUCAGGCGACAGAGAGGGAUCAGGCUCGGGUUCGGGAGUCGACCAGCUCGAGGAGCGGAUGAGGGAGUUUAUAUCAGCUGAGAUUGCGCGCAAUGUCUAGACCAGAAUCCUGUGAUCUUCGGUACGGUCAAGGAGGGGAUACAGGAGAUUUUGGAUGAGAGGCUAGGAGUCUUCCGCGCUGAGGUGAUGGAUUUGGUGGGAGUGCGUACCUUGACAUUCCGAGAGUUCAGGGCUUGUGGGGCUCCCGAUUACCAUGGGGCUCGGGACCCCAUCGCUAGCAGCAUGUGGUUGGCCGAUGUUGUCAACGCUUUCCGUUUGAGCCGAUGUCCUAAGGGGGACAAGGUCCGAUUGGCCUCCUGCCUUCUGAAGGACAGAUCACGGAAUUGGUGGGAGGAGGUUGGCCAUGCCAUUGGGGAUGAUGCCACGUUGGACGUGAUGACAUGGAGUGAUUUCUCAACCAGUUUCAGGGCCGAGUUUGCACCAGUGAUUGAGGUGCAUCAACUAGCACGAGAGUUUCAGGAUUUACGCCAGACGACCGAGACUGUGGCGGAGAUCAUCGCCAAGUUCAGGGAGAGGGCUCUUCUUGUUCUGCAGUAUGUGGCGGACGAGGAAAUGAAGAAGGCCCGAUAUCACGAGAUGCUGAGGAAUGAAAUAAGGCAGUUUGUGAGCAGGUCCAGCUGCAAGACGCUGUAGGAUAUCAUUGCUCGAGCCAGGGAGAGGGAGAUCGACUUGGAGCAUAUUGGGAAGAGGAAGGCUGAGACUGAGCAGACGAUGGGGGGUUUCGGGCAAGAGGCCCAAGGGGUCAGAUUUGAGAUCGAGGGAUUAUCAGGGAUGCAGUCGUUAUGGCAAGUGUGGCAGGACGCACGAGGGUGCGUGCAGGAGUGGUACUGGUGGUGAUUCUGGCUGCUUCAAGUGCGGCCGGACUGGUCAUUUCAGCAGGGAUUGUGCUGUUGCCACCACCCAGGGAUCAGACCUGAUAUGUUUCCAUUGCAGUCAGAGGGGCCACAAGAAGGCCCAGUGUCCGAGUUUGCUUCUAGUAGGACGGGUGAUGGCACCGGCCCCUACGACCUUGAGGAUCACUGAUGGCCGUCAGGGCCGAGCGGAGGCGCCUGCGGUGAGGAGCAGGGCUUUUCAGUUAUCUAUAGUGGAGCCGCGAGCAGCACCGUAUGUUGUAGGUGCAUAUCUUUUUCUUUCCUGUCAACUUUUAUUCAUGAUUAUAUUGUUAUGGUAUUGCAUCAAUGUUAGUAAGUAUACAUUGGAGUAUUGUAUUACCUACUUUCGAUUAAGUCAUAUGUCAUCUGCAUACCUUGGAUGAUAGAGUAUUAGUUCGAAGAUGUUUCUAUUAGAGCGGGUUCUCAGGACGCAGUUGUUGUAGCAAGGAUGAUUAGAACUCAGGAAGUGUUCUAUAAUCUUCAAGAGCGGUUCGGAUUUAAUACCAGUGAGUUUUGGAUCACUAGUAGUAGUAAGCAUUGGAUUACUAGCAGAUUGGUCAUGGGAUGAUAGGAACGAUUGGGACUCCUUUCCAAGCAAGUGAACUGUAAAGUGUUAGUUGAACCAAAGUGGGGGAGAGAGUUUCCCAGAAUUCAGGAGCAGAAGGGUGCGUGGAUUUAGGAUGAGUUGCAUUCUCAUCAGGAAGAAAGACAGCCCAAGUGGAUGUGUGAGUUAAGGAGUGCGUAAGUUGGGAGUUUAGGAAACUUCGCAACGUUGAAUUCGCGUUUUCGCAAUUGAAGAUGUCUUGUCACACCCCCGAACCAGACGGCGGAAACGUCUGAGGGUUUGUGUGACUUAAAUUGAAAUAUCAUCACAAUGAAUAUUCAUGAAACAUAACAUAAACAUCACCAUGCAUUAAUACAUUACAACUGACCUUGUUCACAUCAAGUACAUUGUUUACAUGACAUAGUUCCAAAACAUGAAUCGUCUGAUGUUUAACAUUACACAAAAGAAAUUUCCUGAAACACACUUGGAGGUUCUUCAGUCUAACGAUUUCCUGAGAAUACAAGUUAUUUUGAAAACGUCAACAUAUAUAAUGUUGGUGAGUUCAUAAGCAUGUUUGAUAUAAACUAGUUUGUAUUGAUUGUAAAACCCAAAAAAAUCCGAUAUUUUCUGUACAAAAACUCUUUGCGAAAAAAGAUGUGAUGAUCCCAUAAGUGCAAAUGUAUGUGAUUUCGAAACAUGUAAAAGUGAUUGUUGUUCAAAAUUUGUAACGACCCAAUUUUCAAGACUAAAAAAUUUUCUUUUAAAACAUUACUAAACCACAUUUAUAAAAACUGUAUCAUAAGUCAUAACAUAAUUUCAUAGUAUUAAUUUCGAACAUAACUUAUUAUCAGAGUAAAACAUCCCAGGCUAACUGACUAUGGUAUGUGCACUGCAACCUCUCCGAGCUCCUCCUUUGAAAAUUGAGUACUUGAAACCAAAAACUGAAACCGUAAGCACGAAGCUUAGUGAUCUCCCCCAAACUACCACAUACCAUGCAAACAUAUAAAGCACAUACUGGGCCUUGCCCACUGCAUCGGACCGGAGUCCGGAACUGACCAGGGCCUUGCCCUCUACAUCGGACCGAAGUCCGGAACUGACUAGGACCUUGUCCCGUGCAUCGGACCAAAUUCCGGAACUACUGCAUCGGACCGAAGUCUGGAUUUGUCUAGGACCUUGUCCCCUGCAUCGGACCGAAGUCUGGAACUAACUGCAUCGGACCGAAGUCCGGAACUGAUUGAACAUAGCAUGGCAUAAACACAUCAACUAGCAUGAACACAUAUACUGCAUACUGCAUCGGGUCGUAGCCCGAAACACAUAACACAUAAAUCAUGUCGGAGCCACAAAGGCAUCAAACAUACUAAAUACUACAUCGGAUCGAAGUCCGAAAACUACUACUACUAAACGGGCCGACAUUGUGGCCUUAGACCCGUUCCUACUGGAAGGAAACUCACCUGCACUGCUGGAGUUUUUGCUGAUACCCUUCUGACUGCUAUCAGACACUCUCGAACUGCUGCUCCAAAAACUCCCCGAUCUACUAAUACCAAAUAUAACACUUAGUCUAACUGUCCUCCGAAAGUUAACUAAGUCCACUCUGCUCAAAGUCAAAGUCCUGGUCAAAGUCAACCUUCCAGGUCAACCCUACUCGUCGAGUCUGCCUACUGACUUGCCGAGUUCAUACGCUUAGAAUCCUUUCAUUCACGACUCGACUCGCCGAGUCAGCCCCUUGACUCGCCGAGUCUAUCGAUUUUCGAGUCCUGACCUGACCAACUCAUUGAGUCCCCACUCAACUCACUGAUCCGAGUCUUAACUCGAAGGGUUUGGGGUUUCGCGACUUGACUCGCCGAGUCCAAGGAAAUCUUCAACAGACUCGCCGAGUUGUUCAUCCAACUCGUCGAGUCCACUCGAAGGACUCAUCGGGUCUAUUCAAUCCUUCAUAUAUUCAGAGGCUUUUGAGUCAUGCAUGGACUCCAAAUUGUAGAUCCACUCUUCUAAAGUCUAUUCCUUACGUAAAGUGGCAAACUUUACGUGUAGCUAAGGAGAUCUAGGCUCAAAACACUAUAAACUAGGGUUUAAGACAAAAGGGGCUUAACAAUCAACCCAUAGACUGAUGCUUUAUGAUUCUCUAGGCCAAGAUACACUUAGAUCUGAAGUAGCAACUUCAGAUCUGGGCUUCUAACUCGAAAUGGUUCUUAAACUUGCCCUAAAAGCCCCAAAUCUCAUGAUAAAGGUUGAUCUAUAUGCAAAAGAGUGAAGGUAGCGACUCAUUACCUUCAAAUGCUCUGGAAAAUCCCACAAACCCUGGAUCUACUGCCAAUCCUUGAAUCCCCAAUGGUUGCCUUCUUCCUUCUUCCUUCAAAUCACCCAAAAUGGCAAGAAAUCUUGAAUGAGCAACAAUGGAGGCUUAGGGUUUCGGGUUCUGGACUAUAGGGGCCGCAAAUGAGCCCUAGGGAAGAGAAUAAGAUGCUUAAAUAGGGUACCAAGUGUCGGAAAUAGGGUUUCCCAACCCAGACCAGACUCGCCGAGUCCACUUGCCGACACGCCGAGUCGGUCACUUACUUUACACCCGGAUCUCGCUCCGACUCGCCGAGUUCCUCCCUAGACUCGACGAGUCAACCCUCUUUAACUUAGGGUUUUUCCUUUACUUUCUUGACCUUUCUGAUUUCAGGUGUUACAAAAUUGAUUCUUGUAUUAUAGUUAUUGUAUGUAGGAGUGAAUAAUGUUGUUCCCCCAGAAAACCCGAUGUUUUCCGAUAUAAAUAAUAUGAUAGUUUUGUAUUAUUGUAUCAUCUCAACAAAUGAAUGUGAUUUCCCAUGAUUACUUAGCUGGUAAUGGAUCUCUAUGUGAGUCGUUAUAACCAUGCAUAAUAAUGACUAAUUCGUCUGUCUUGGCAUUUUAUCGGAUGUCGGUUUUGAUCAAGAUUUUGUUACCCUAGACUGGUCGAGUCUAACUGUAGCGAACAACUCAGGUGUGGGGGAGUCACCCCCAUAUAGAUCUAUACACAAACUCUCGCUCUCCCUCCAGGAGACUCUGUUUAUAACUACAGUCUACGACCGACACUUAUUGGUGUCACCUGUUAUUUCUCACUAAAUCCCACUAAAAUUGAAAUAACCUUGUUAAACAACCUGAUUUAUGUUUACUUUAAUAAAAGGUAAGCCUAACAGACGAAGAGAAGAGGGCAACGGAGGCCCACUAACUUUGUAUGUUAUUACAGGCUUUCGAGUAUGCUACAAGCACGUUAUAGCCCAUUAAGCAUAUUAUGGAUGUUUAGGGUCUUAUUAGCAAUGUGAAUUGACCAUUAAGGCCCAAUAGCAUGUUAUAACUGAUAAAGGCCCAUUGGUUACGUAAUUGGGUCACCGGAAGCCCAAUAAACAUGUGUGAAUAUAUUGGGCCCAAUAAUCAUGAUAUUGGGCCACAAAGGCCCAAUAGCACGAAUAGAAGAUAUUUAAGCUCAACCAUUGAAUCAAUUAUAAAUUAUCGAUCUUAAGUUCAUAAUGUAGGUAUUUGUUGUCAACUAUAUGUUUAUUCGAAGUGUUAAAAUGCUUUGGCGUUUGAUUUAUAACGAAAAUUUGGUUAUACAUACAUACAUACAUAUAUAUAUAUAUAUAUAUANNNNNNNNNNNNNNNNNNNNNUUAAAAAAACCAUUUGUUAUAACUUUAUAUUUUUAACCCAAAAAUUUAUAUUUGUCUAUUCGCCCAAAAACAUUUAGUUUGACCAUUUCAACCAUUUAUCUAUAAAAAUGACACUUUUAGUCCAUUUUUAUGAAAAUUGACAUUUUUAGUCCUUAAACCAUUUUUCUUGACAUUUUCGACCCAAAUUUAUUUAAAUAAUAAUUUCAGCCCAAAACUAUUGUAUUUCUCAUUUCCAGCCCUUAGUUGUAAAAAUUUUACACUUUUGGCUCAAAUUCCGUAAAUUUUACAAUUUUGACCCCAAAAUCAAAAACUUUGCAUUUCUAGUCCAAUUUUUGCAUCAAAGUCAUUUUCAGCCCGUAAAUAGUUUAUUCACGUAUUAGACUCACAGUUUGUUAAGUUUUCCAUUUCAGUCCCUCAAAACUUCAUUUUUUCGCAACUUUGGGCCCAAAAACUUGUGAGGCCCAAAUUAAAGCCCAAUAAGCUAAAAUUUAAGUUUUUGACCCCUAGAAAAAUUUUAUUUUCAUAAAAGUCAGAUUUUUAUGUGAAUAAUACCAUUUUAUCCUUAUAGAACCGAAAAUGUCAUAUUUUACCCAAAUCUUUGUUAUUUUUGCAAAAAUGACACUUAUAAGGAGUUUGACUUUGUUUCCACUUCUUGAGCCUAAAGACCCUUAGAUCUUUGAAGUAAGUUGUUUAUUAUGUUAUUUGUUCAUAAAUCUUUCACAUUUUAGCUAUAAAUCUUGAAAUAUCUUAAGUAUUAACACAUUAUCGCAACAAAACCAAAGAAAUCACAUAUAACAUGCAAACACACAUAGAUCAACACAUAACUCUUGUAUUCUCCCUCCAAAAACAAGUAAAAACCGAAAACAUGGGGGUAUGGACUCACCUUGCUUAGUUGCUCACAGUUUUUGAAGAAGAAAUGGAAGAGGUUGAUGUGAUUUUCGGCCCUAGUAAGCUUCUUGAGAGGACUAUGGUUUAGAUGGAUUCUAAGGAGUAGAUCACGAAUUUUGCAUGAGUUAGGAGGAGAUUUUUGAUGUAAUAGAGAAACUAAGCCAUGGAUCUAAGUAACAACUUACCAAGGAUGAUGAUUUUUAUGGAAAAACCUUCUUGAAAUGCCCUAGAUCUUGAAAUGCCCUAGAUCUUGAAAUUUUUUAGAGGAAAUGAGUGGUUGUUGUGGUGAGUGUUUGAGAGAAAAUUCAAGUGAGGUGUGUGUGUGUGUGUGAUCCUCGGCCGAGAGGAAGAAAAAUAGGGAGGGGAAGAGAGAAGUGACCUUGCAUGGAAGUAUGAGAGUGUAUGGAUACAUGUUGUAUAAAAGCCUCAUUAUCCCUUAAACAACAAUGAGGUGUCACUUCCCUUAAUCCUCCAUAAACCCCUUUUUUAACUUGGGCCGAAAUGGGCCAAAGGAAGAAGGAAUGAAUUAGUUUGGCCCACUUCAAUCCUUGGUUCGAGAUUAUGAGUUUUAUAGGCAAAAAAUUUCGGCCCAUUGGGCCCUUAGGGUGGUUCACGGCCCAAUUAGCAUAAAAGAUUAGGUUUGUGGCCCAUUAGGGCUAAUUAGAUUAGUUAUGGCCCAACAAGGUUAAUUAGGCUAGUUAUGGCCCAAUAAGGCUUAUUGGAGUAGUUUAUUCAAUUUUAGGCCCAAUAUGGUUUGAAAUGUCAAAUCUCAUGAAGGUGGGUUGAAUUAGAGCCCAAUUAAGGGUUCUAAGUCCAAACUAGUCAAAUUGGAAACUUAUUGGUCCAUUAGGCCCAAUAAGGAAAUCCUAGUCUAUAAUGGACUUAAACCGGGCUUUUUAGGGUUUCCAAUCUUUUGUUGACUAUUUGAAGUGUUUGCAUAGGGUGUUUGAUGGAACUUUGGUGUUAUUGAAUAAACAUCAUGCAUACUUUCAAGUUUUAGUUACAAAUGUUAUCAUUGUUAAUGUUUACAAAAGCAUUAGAAUUCCUAGUUGUGACAUGUCUGGUUUGGGAAACCAAGUUGGAGGAUCGUCAGCAGGACUCGAGUGAGUCAGGAUGAAGAUUACGUGAACGUCCGGCAUGGGAUGCUUUCGGAGUAGUAGUCAGCGCUAGAGACAACAUGGAGAGUGUGGUAAGACUGCGGGAUAGCUGCGACAUUUGUUAGUAGCCAGUUAGAGAAGUGUGGGCGAAGGCCCGUACCUCCUAAUUAGCAUGAUAGAGAUCAAGAGAGAGUAAUUCGUUGAGUUUCAAGAUGGACUUAGGCCUGUAUUACCCAAGAGAGGUGAGACCUGUAGGAGAGGCCACUCUAAGAUAUAGUUUGGGUGAGACCCGUGGGCGAGGGCCGUGUGAUUAUAGCAGUGCAGGUGGGACCAGGUAGAGACCUUAGGGUCAGGUAAGGGGAUCGAGGAUCCCAGAGCAUAUAGAGUUAGAGUGGCAAGGUAGAUAGAAUAGUUUUAGAUAGCCGAAGUUUCCUUGGGAGUCAUUGGGAGCGACUGAGCGAUUGAGCUUGGGUUCAGUAGCCGGUGGGAGUUCGAUCACCAAGUUAAUGGCAGAUUAGUUGGGACCAAGGUGGUCUCGGUUUUUCCGGAAGGUGGAUAAGAGACAGCAGAAUCAUCAGUCGGGGGUAGUAAUGAUAAGGGAAGUUUGGUGUGGGGCAGCUAGUUGACCGAGAAGUGUUACGCCUCGCACAGCAGGGUUAAAUAAUCUCAGAGGGAAGGGUUGAACCCUGUUGCGCAGCUCUCGUAUGAGUCUAACCAUUGCAGAGAUUAAUCUUUUACUCGAAGGAUUAUCUGGUCCAGUCAUUGGGUUGGGUGCUCAGCACUAAGAUAUAGUAGGAGGAAGCAUCCAGUGGAUAUCACUGAAGUGACCAGCAUUAGAAGUGGCCGGGAUUGCAACUUCCAUAGAGGAUUUUUCCUUGAUGAAGUUUGGAAAGGUUUGUUCCUUAUGGCUAGUCACCUUGGGAAGGCCAGUGUCAGCACAGGGAAAAAGGGUGAACCCCUUGUAUGUCAAGUGGAAGUGCUCGGGAGGUACCGGUAGGGUUACCGGUUGAGUAAGAGUGUUGUACUUGAGGAUAGUAAUGAUCGGGUUAUUCUAAAUAUGAUAUUUUCAAGGUUUGGACCGAAUGGGCGAAGUGCGUAACUAGUGGUAAGGUUGUAAGCGGGUUGUAAGGUAGUUGACUUUGGCGGACUUCAAGGACGAAGUCCAGUUUAAGUGGGGGAGAUUUGUAACACCCCGAAUUCAGAAGACCAAGAAAGGAAGGGAAACCCUAAGUCAAGGAGUCAACUCGUCGAGUCCAAGGAAGAAGUUGACGAGUGGAAGCGAGUUUCAUGUCGCGAAUUAAGUGGCCGACUCUGCGAGUCGGCGGUCUGACUCGGUGAUUCUGGUAUGGGUUGGGAAAACCUAAUUUCGAUACAUGGUGCCCUAUUUAAGCAUCUCAUUCCUAUUUCCUCAGCCUCUUGAAUGCUCUCUCAAUACCAGAACAAAACCUUAGAGCCUCCCUUGAGUUUUUCAGCCAUUUUGUGAGAUUUUGAGCAUUCUUGAAGCUUGGAAGAACAAGAAGAAGGUUGGGGUUCAAGAAGGAAGGAGUAGAUCCAGAAGAUACCCCCAUUUGUUGCACUUAUUGGUAAUCAAGUCUUCAUCUUGGCUUCUAGUUUUUUUGGUCUCUUUAUAGCCCUUUUUAUGAAGUUUUUGGACCAAGAAUUAUUACUUAUGGGAUUUGGACGUCCCAAGCAUAGAUCCUUUAAGAUCUGAGAGCAUUUAGAGUGGUUAAGGCAUAAAGGUGGAAGCUUUAUGCCAUUAGAACUCCCCAUGCAAAGUUUAAGAGGUUGUUAUGUCCUUUUUAGCAAAAAAGGGCCAUGCACGGAUGCAAAGGUAGUAGCUUUGCGUGUUAUUCCGACCCUAGGAGUUAGAUCUGGGUCCUAGAUGCCUUGUGCUUGACUAAAAUCGUCUGAAUAGAAUUGGACAUUGAGGGACUCGACGAGUCACUUGUGGGACAUCUCGGCGAGUCAGGCCAGUUUCUAGCCCCAAAACCCUUCUGUAAAGGGUAUGAGUUAAGUUGGUUAGGGACUCAACCAACCUGGGUCCAUAGUAGACAUGAAGAUCAUCGUACUCGACGAGUUGAAGGAGGAACUCAGCGAGUCCAAGGCAAUCUCCUUAGUUUAUGAAGAUGGACUCGACGAGUUGUUCAUACAACUUGGCGAGUCAUAGAGUGGACACAUUCAUGUGUGGGAGAUGAACUUGACGAGUUCAAGGAUGAACUCGGCGAUUCGGUUAAAGAUGGUCCCGAUUGUAUGAUUGAAGUAGAACCCGUCGAGUUCUUGCUAGACUUGACGAGUAGAGUCGGGGUUGUAUUGGGUUGGAGGAGUAUGGACUCGACGAGUUGGUAGACCAACUCGGCGAGUCAAGGCAACUGGAGGUUGACUUUGACCAAGUUUGACCUGGGUGGACUUUUGGAUUAUUGUGGUCUAAAUGUUAUUUUGGGUAUUGCUAGUUCGGGAAGUCGAAGGGUCAGCAGUUCAGGAGUUGCCGGUUAGCAGUCAGAAGUGUUCAGCUAGUCUUUAGCAGUUCAAGGUGAGUCUCCUCACUGUGUGCAUGGGUCUACAACCACAAUUCUGAGCCAUUAUGUUAUGUUUAUGUUUAUGUAUAGAAGGAAGACCCAGGGGUUAGCCCUAGGCACUUAUUGUUAUAUGUUCCGGGUUACGACUUGAUGUCGGGCGAGGCCCGAGGAAUGUUAGGAUGCUAGAGGUCUUUGUGAUUCUUGCAUAUGUCGGUAUGUUAGGUUACGGACCGAGGGUCUGAUGUCGGGGCAAGCCCAAAGUAUGUUAGAUGAUAGUGUGUUUCCGGACCGGGAGUCUGAUGUCGGGUAAAUCCCGAGGAAGAUUCUUAUGUUGUAUGUUAGAUUAUACUUGUGUCUACAUGAUACUUGUAUGUGUCUGGUAGGGAGGUGGGGGUGGGUGAGGUCCCGUAUCUCAUCACUAGCUGAGUAUGGAUGGGCUUCCAUAUCUCGAUAUUAGCUGAGUAGGGGCGAGGCCCGGGAUAGGAAGGAUGUGGGUGUGGGCGAGGGCGAGGGCCCGUAUCUCACUACUAGUAGGUGUAUGGACAGGAAGUAGGGCAGAAAGCGCACAUCCAACUGCCUAUCAGAUAUUAAUUACAUAUAACCUUGAUGUAUAAACUAAGGUAUUAUAUAAUUAACCACUAAAGGUCCUUAAAGUUAUACUGGUUUAAUAAAAUGAAUUAAACCCUUUUACUGAUAAGUUACUAGUUUAGCCUACUAAAUGUUCUAUCUGAAAAGUAUUUUUUGUACUAGAAAAUGGUAUAUUGAAUUUGGAUACUAUGACCUGACCCAUACCUGGUACUCCUUAUAAUUACUUGGUGUAUACGGAAUAUAUAUAUAUAUAUAAGAUUGGANUAUAUAUAUAUAUAGCUAAGAUCGAAUAGCUAGUAGACUGGGUGAAUCUGCUCUAAGCCCACAACCAAACAAGGAACAAGAAAUGAAGCGGAAGCACACAUUCUACUGUCUACCGGACCCGAUUAAUAUACCUGAUGUAUCUACCGAGGAAUCAUAAAGUUAGCAUUAUAGCCCCCCUUUUAACUGAAUGUACUAAGAGUCGACUAUUUUGUUUGUCUUUUGUGAUGAUGUAAGUUUUCCCAAGUUUAAGACUAUCUUUACUAGAAAAUAGUUUGCAUUACCUUUUAUGUGAGAAGAUCACUAUAUGAAUGUAAUGGGAAAAUGAAAGUAUUCAGUAAUAUUGUAUAACGUAACUACUGAAGCACUAACUACCUUAAAACCAGUUUGUUAAUUAAGGUCAAGAUGUGAUGUGGUUAUAACCAUACUGAUCGACAAGUGUUUAACACGACAAUCUGCUGGUGUCGAAACUGAUGUGACAUUUGUCACCCCUUGUCCUGCCGGCCAAACUGUAGUGAACAGUCGGGAUGCGGGCUUGUCAGUCCCGUAUAGAUCUAUACACACAAUGUCCGUUCUCCCUCCAAGAGACUCUGGUUACAAAACGCGACCUAACAAGUAUAUUGCUAAGCCGUGAAGUAGUCUCACAUAAAUGUUAUCUUGUUCUUGUUAUUAUAUGUUCCUUUCUGUUUUUGUUAUCGUAUGUUCCUUUCUGUUCUUGUUAUUGUAUGUUUUGAACCCCUAAACUAUACUUAUUAUAGUUUACUAGUAUGUUUGUUUUGUAUUGUCUCUGAUUUGUAGAAAAGACUCGAUUAUCUACUGAGUUAUGAUUGUACUUUAAAAAUAGAGUUUUAUAAACAACAAAGUAUCAUAACUUUAAAAGAGUUUUUGAAAUGAUUUGAUCACUUAUUAAGAGCAUAAGAAAAUCCUUUAAUGUGAUGGUUAUCACAGAUAAAUAUUUACACAAUUAACAUUAUGUACAACUUGUAUUCCUCCUUUUAAAAGCAUUUAAAACAUUUAAAAGAUUGAUUAUAGGGGUAUGAACUCACCUUAUGUGGGUGAUUCAAUUGAAGAUUCGUGUAAGGAUGAGAAGUUCCACGAAUGAAUUCUCGAGACACAAACGAGUCCUAAAUGACAUAUAAUGGCAUAUAUAGGCAUGUAAUUAGUGUUUAAGACAACUAAUAUGCAAGGAAAUGAUCUUAGGAACUAGGAAACACUUGAAAUGAAGUGUUAGAAUCACAUGUGAUUGUAUGAAAGGGAGUUUACGGCCAAAGGAAGAUGUGUUCACGAUCAUUCAAGGGUUUACAGCCAUGCUAGGGUUUACGGCCGUAAACUCUUGAUGUUCUUGUAUUUUUGGGUCCUUGAUUCAUGCUAAAAGGGUGUUUGCUUCAUGAGGCUUCAAGAGUUUCUAGUUUAUAACAAGAAUAUGGAAGAAUUCUUACGAUUUGGAAGCUUUUGGGAGUUCACGGCCACCAAGAACAAGUGUGUGUUAUUGGUGUUCUUGGUGUUUUUGAUGAUACUUGAGAGAGAAAUGAGUGUUUUUGACUUGAAGAUGUGAGGAAUGAAGAACAAAUGAAGGAAUUCUAUACUUAUGAUGUGGGGUUCACGGCCAAACAAGAGCUUAUGACCGUAAGCUGUAGUUUACGGCCGUAAACUCCAAGUGAUGGGGUUUUCCAGCUUAAAUGCUACACAACGAACUCUAGUAGAUACUCCUAACACCCAAUCCUUGAAUGUACUAGGCUUAGAACACUCAAACAGGCCCUUAACAAUGCUAAAAGAUAGUAGAAACUAGUCUGACUUUUGAUUGAAUUGAAUGGAUUUACUAUAUAGAAAUUUUCACGCGUCACGCCUAACAGCAACGUUAUGAGACUUUUUGUAACGGCGAAGCCACGCCUCACGUCAUGACACGCCUUAGUGCGCGUCAUGACGCGCCUUUUAGAACAUUGGGUUGUGCCCUUUUGUAUGUUAUGUGGUAUUUUGAGGAACUCACUAAGCUUUGUGUCUACGAUUUGUGGUUUAAACAUUUUCAUAUACUUCCAGUUCCAAAGGGAAGAGCACGACAUGAUCACACAACAUCCCAUUGAUUUUAUUCUACAAUGUUAUUUGGAUUCACUCUGAUGUUGAGAAUAUGUGUAUACUAUAAUUGGGUUGGAACAAUUAAUUGUAUCUGUCGGGUGUUUGAAAAAUAAAAGUUUUACUACUAUUUUUGGGACGUUACAUUAAUUAUUAAUUUAUUAGAUUGAGGGUUCAAGUCUCGCUAUAGACAUAUAUGAAAUAAUUUAGAAGUAGUUUAUAGUAUAUUUACCGUUAAAAAAACUAUUAAUUGAUUUAUCUAAAUUAUCUAAUCAAUCCAUAUUAUAAUACUCAUUUAUCUUAUAAGAGUGUUGGCUUUCGACGCAUCAAUAUUUUAUUAUAUUUUCAGUUCGAUUGUUAUUUAAAUUGAUAUAUGAUCAAUGAAAGGGAAUAUGACUUAUGAAGGUAAUUAACUUUUCGGGUUGUUCACAUAUAGGUAACUAUAUUUUUUUUGUACACAUCUAGGUAACAAACGUUUUGGAACUGUUCACAUAUGACCAUUAUGACCUGCUGUAGCAGGUUACAUCCAGCUACAGCAUGUCAUAAUGGUUAUGUGUGACCACUUUCAACAAGUUCGUUACCUAGAUGUGUACAAAAAAAAUAGUUACCCAAAUAUGAACAAAACCAAAAGUAAGAGUAAAUUACACGAAUGGUCCCUAUGGUUUGGGAGAAUUUGUGUGUUUGGUCCCUAACUUAUUUUUUUAAGUCGGAUGGUCUCUACUGUUUAUUUUUGUUGCGCGCUUAGUCUUUGUCUUACCUAAAAAGACUAUUGUGGCCUUAUUAAUUUAUUUUUUUAGUUAAUUUUCUUAUUUAUGUAUUUGCUUUUAUAUGUUUAAAAAAAUUAAUAGACCCCGCAUAUCUGUAUCUCAUCACCGUAAACAUGAAACCACAUUUGAGAAAUUUAAUCUGGGUCGCAUCGGUCACCAUCCCAUAUCUCAUCAUCUGCAACUUCUAUUUUAUUUCCAUCUUUAGUGAUAUGGAAGUCUUCAACAUCCUUUUUUUGGUCCUUCAACUUUGGCGAACAAACACCAUAACACAUUGUCUCUUCACUUUAGUGGGUUGUGGUGUUGGUUCGCUGGAGUUAAAGGACCGAAAAAUAAUAAAUGGUGAAGACGUCGAUGUCAUUAAAGAUGAAAAAGAAAUAAAAGUUGAGGAUGAUGAGAGACGGGAUGGUGAGGAGAUACAGAAAUGUGAGGUCUAUUAGUUUUUUUAAGCAUAUAAAAAAUACAUAAAUAAGAAAAUUAAUUAAAUUAAAUUAAUAAGGACACGAUAGUCUUUUUAGGUAAGACAGGGACCAAACGCAACAAAAAUAAAUAGUAGGGACCAUCCGAAUUAAAAAAAAAUAAGUUAGGGACCAAAAGUACAAAUUCCCCAAACCACAUGGACCAUUUGUGUAAUUUACUCUUACUUUUGGUUUUGUUCAUAUUUGGGUAACUAUUUUUUUGUACAAAUCUAGAUAACGAAGUUGUUGAAAGUGUUAACAUGUAACCAUUAUGACCUACUAUAGUCGGAUGUAACCUGUUACAGCACAGUCCCAAAAACUUUGUUACGUAGAUGUAUAAAAAAAAGAUAGUUACCUACAUGUGAACAAACUGAAAAAUUAAUUACCUUAGUCAGUCUUAUUCCCUCAACGAAACAACCAAAAUAUUUAAUUAAAAAACACGUGCACUUAGUUUCUUCCUGGCAUGGAUUUAUUAUUCUAUGUACACAAGAUGUUCUUGCCAUAAUGAUUGAUUGCUCUCAUUGUCUCCCACAACUCUGUGGACCACAUAUGAUUUAUCGUCAACGAAUUAUUCAGUAAAAUAUAGAAAAUGUGAAUAAGAAACAAACCGCUGCAAAAAAUAAACUUACUUCGAAAUGUGAAUGAGAAUUUCGACCAAGUUGGAUAAAAAAGUAAUGUUUAUUUAUCUCUAAUAGAUUAUAAAAAUAGGAAAAUGAGAUUACGUGAUGGAUUUCCAAAUUAACCCGACUAACCCGCAACUUAAUAGGAUCUGGUUUCGGAUGAUUUCUUAAAAUUAGUAAAAACCCAACUAAACCAAAACCCAAUCGAGUUGUCACAAAUACAUUACCAACUUCGAUGGUUAAGAAAGGGUUAUCUUGAAUGAACUCACAUCCACGCUCAUAUAGCAUACGAAUAUAUGUGGGAAACACAUGUACACAUAAUGACAUAAAAGCAUUAGGGUAAAUCACAUCAAUUGUUUGUCGUGUAUAUGCCAAAAAGUACGUUUAGUCCUUAUUUUUAAAAAUUAACUUGGGCCGUUUCUUGUUUGUUUAAAACUUGCACAUGUUAUCCAUCUUUGUUUUAAAUUUACACACUUAAUCUUUUAUCAGAUUUAAAAUGACUAUACUACCCUUACUAUUUUGUUUUUUAUUUAUUUAGAAUUCAUUUUAUAUUAAAAAAAUUACAGUCAUAUACUAUCUUCCCUCUUUCCCUUUUUUCCUUUCAAAUCAGUUGAAAGGAUAAAACAUCAUCACCACCACCACCGUUAGUGACCACCGACUCAACUCUUAAGCAAAUGUCACUACUUCACCCCCGACUAUCUACUAUGUUUCUCCUUUCUCUAUCAGUGACCACCACCGAUUUGAGGUUCCUUGAUGGAAGAUGAUUUAUGGCUAGGGUUUCUUGAAGGAGUGUUGAUCUAUAACCUUCUAUUGCAGUUCCAGCAACGAUGGUUUCUCCAUCUCUCUUGCACCAAAAAAAGAUCAACAUAGGAAAUUGAUCUGAGGUUCCUCCUCGACAUGAGGUUCCUCGAAAAAGUGUGUUACGCACCAAACCAAACCAAUAUAAAAAAGAAAGCAAAAUUGGUUCCAAAAAUCAAAAUAAAAAAUGGUUCAAGAAGUUGAAGUUGAAAUCAGAAUUAUAUUGAUUGUGGUGGUGGUGGUCGUCGUUAUUCAACCUCUUUGUCGGAUAUGGACUCAGGUUUGGAGAACGUCGAGUGGUCAACGAGUUUCAAAGACCAUGGACGUCAAUCGGAGAGUAGAUCGAAAAUGUUUGUUGGUUUGAGAUGGAAGAAUCGAUCGUGAGAAGCAAUUGUAGCCGGAGAUUUCGAGGGAGAUGUAUUGAUUUCUUUGUUUAACGUCUUGAAGAGGGUUUAGACUUUAGAGUCGGUGGAUCUGAUUUCAACAACUUGAAGAGGGUUUGACUUUGGUCUCACCGAAAAAAGGUGGAGCAUCGGAGAAAGUAUGAGAAGUGUUGUUAGGUGGUUCCCAACAAUGAAAGUGAACGAGGGAGACAAAGAAGGAAGUUGGGGAAGGGGGAGGGGCGGGAUAUUAAUUUUUUCUUUUUUAAAUCUAAAAACUGAUAAAUAAAUAAAUAAAUAAAUAAGUGCAAAAUAGUUUUUUUUUAUGUCUGGAGGGACUAAGUAUACGAGAAAAAACAAACCCAGAAACGAUCCAAAUUAACUUUUAAAAAUAACGGUUAAACGUACGUUUUGACACAUACACGAGAGAUGAAUGGUGGUACUUGUCCCUUCCUUGCCCAAUGCCCAUUCCUUUAUGAAAUUGGUCAAAUUUAUACCAAUGUCAUAUGUCCUAUAGAGUUGUUUGACAUAUAGACAACUAGACCAUAACUGACAGAUGGGUGUUGCGUAGUUGGAAACUUGGAAACGGUAGCUUCUAUUUAUAUAGAAGAUUAGAAGUGUUCUUAAAAAAUAGUUGCAAGAUUUUAUACUCUUAAAGUCUUAAACUAGCCGUUAAUUCCAGUUUUGGCGUAUUGUAAUAUACUGAUUUUAAUUAAUGAUGUUAUUAAAUAUAUUUAAUUUUAUAAAUACUAAAUAUACUUAAAAAAAUAACAAAUUAGAUGAGAGCUUAAGAAAGAUAAGAGAGUAAAUUUGUUGGCCAAGGUUUUAAGUUAAUUUUUGCCGAAAACUUUUAACAUGUUUUUCCAUUUUGGAAUGUCUCGACAUAGUUUCUGAUCAAUAAUACCCAAGUUUGGUUGCUUGAUUAGUUUAUACGUUGAUCGUAAUUGGGUGAUAAGACUUAAGACAAAGCCUAAAUGCAAGAAAUAGCAACAUACUUUCAUUUAUUGAUUAAUUAUAGCAUCCUACUUUCAUUUCUUCUUAUUCUAUACUUUGAACAAUAUAUCCAAUUAUAUAACAAUGUCACCAAUAUUUCCAUGACUUGCAUAAAAAUAAAAGAUCACAAGUAGAAAUUCAAAACUAAAAAGAAAGGUGGACGAUUUCCGACUAUCAAAAUAGCAAAAAGGCUGAAAAACACAUUUUGCAAUCAGAUAUACAACACAAAAUGAGACUAACAAUAAACAAAGACAAAGCAACUACACCACUACACUACAUAGUUCAUUAUUUAAAAAAAAAACAACUACUACAACUACAAACUACAAACUACAAACUACAACAAGAAAAGGAUAAAACUUACUUGAUUUGAUCACUAAGCAGCUUUAACCUUUUCUUCAUUCACAACAGAAAGUAUUGGCAAACUGCUUAAAAACUCAUCAAGUCCUUCAAAGAAUCCAUUCCCUUCAACAUUAUUAUCCUCUCCUUGCCCAUGUCCAUGCCCUUCAUUAUUGUUGAAUUCCACAUUCAAAUCCAACUUCCCCAAUUCCUUUCCAACCCUACCCGAUUCCCUUCUUGGAUUCCCACUCUCUUCAACUCCCAUCCCAUUUCCAAGAUUCUUCAAGAUUUCAUUUUUAGCUUCCCGUGCACUAAUACCAACAUCUUGCACCCUGUUUUCGAAUUCCAAUUCCGGAUCUUUCUUCAUCUUUUUCCUGGCAUUGGAAUCAGAAUCAGAACCAGAACCAGAACCGGAAUCGGAAUCGGAAUCAGAACUUUGUUUAGAGACUUCCAUGAACACAUCAUCUGUAAUAUCAUCAAUAGCAUCAAGUUGGAUACGCGGCCCCGAACUUUUGUUAACAAAAGUAUUCUCCUUCGGGGCCGCUUUACCAUUUAAAUGGUUCUGUUUUUGGUUUUGGAUAUUAGUUGAGGGAUUAUACAUAGGUGAAAAGGGUGUCCAAGAUUUUUUGUUACUUUGGGUGUUGUUUUUAUCUAGAUGUGACAUGGAAACACCUAAUGGGAAGUAACCCCAACAACAGAAAUAUGCUUCUUGGCCUUCUGUUAUGGGUGGUGGGUGGGGGAUACGUACAGCUUGAAAUGCCCUUUGACAGUGGUCACAACGGAGGGUACAUUCGGCAUAAACUUUUGGGUAUUCAUACAUGUAGUAACAGAAAGGACAUGAAGUCCAAAAGGUGGGGGAAUUGUCUACAGUUUCAUCAGGUUCUUCUUCAGCUUCUGUUUCUAUUUCUUCUUCCAUUACACCAUUGUCACUGUUGACUUGAGAAGGAAGCUCCAUAGGAGCAGAAUUAUGUACUUGAGACUCUUGCUCUUGUUGUUGGGGUGGGGGUGGGGNNNNNNNNNNNNNNNNNNNNNNNNNNNNNNNNNNNNNNNNNNNNNNNNNNNNNNNNNNNNNNNNNNNNNNNNNNNNNNNNNNNNNNNNNNNNNNNNNNNNNNNNNNNNNNNNNNNNNNNNNNNNNNNNNNNNNNNNNNNNNNNNNNNNNNNNNNNNNNNNNNNNNNNNNNNNNNNNNNNNNNNNNNNNNNNNNNNNNNNNNNNNNNNNNNNNNNNAGGCUGAGGCUGAGGUAUAGGUUGAGGCCGUGAUUGAGGAAGGGGAGGCUGAGGUUGUGGCUGUGGCUGUGAAGGGGGAGGCUGCUGUUGCUGUGGUGGUGCUUGUGUCCAAGAAAAAGGGGGUUGUGGUGCUGCUGCAGGCGGAGGGGGACUUGGUGAUUGCAUACGUGGCUGUGGCUGUGGCUGUGGCUGAGGAGGUUGUGAUGGUUGUCGGAUUUGCUGAUGCUGAUGAGGUGAUGUAACUUGAAAAGGUUGUACCUGUGGCUGAGGAGGCUGAGGCUGUUGUGGUUGUCUAGUUUGGUGAUGUGGUGGAGAAGUAAUUUGAAAAGGUUGUACCUGCGGUUGAGGAGGUUGUUGUGGUUGUCGAGUUUGCUGGUGUGGCGGAGAUGUGACUUGAAAAGGUUGUACCUGUGGUGGAGGAGGUUGUGAUGGCUGUCGAGUUUGCUGCCGGGGUGGAGAUGCAACUUGAAAAGGUUGUACCUGUGACGGAGGAGGUUGUGAUGGUUGUCGAGUUUGCUGCCGGGGCGGAGAUGCAACUUGAAAAGGUUGUACCUGUGGCGGAGGAGGUUGUGAUGGUUGUCGAGUUUGCUGCCGGGGUGGAGAUGCAACUUGAAAAGGUUGUGCUUGAGAUUGAAACAGUUGUUCCUGCUCCCGGUGGUGAAACAGUUGCUCCUGCUCACGCUUAGGAGGUUGUAGUUGCUGUCUACUUUGCUGAUGUGGUGGAGAUGUAACUUGAAAAGGCUGUACCUGUGGCGGAGGAGGUUGUGGUUGUUGUCUAGCUUGCUGAUGCGGUGGAGAUGAAACUUGAAAAGGUUGUGCUUGAGGCUGAAACAGAUGUUCCUGUUCACGAUGCUGAAAUAGUUGCUCUUGCCUUACCGGACUCGGUUGUGACAGAAAAUUAUGCUGCUGCAAUUGCUGCUGUUGAUGACUCUGUUGAACCCUAGUUUGAAAUGUCUGUUGUGGCUCAGGCAAAUCCUGCUCAUGACUCGACCCCAUGUGAUUAAUCGAAAAAAAAUUAUGCUGCUGAUGACUCUGCUGCUGUUGCUGGUGGUGAUGUUGUUGCUGGUGGUGGUGCUGUUGUUCGAGGUUAAACCCUAUAGUGUUCAUCUGUUGUUGCGGCGGAAAAUCAAGCUCCGAAUCAUACAUAGAUUUCCGCAUAGGGUUCGAUAACACAGCCCAAGCAUCAUUCACAAGCUGAAACGCUUGAUCGGAGUAAGGAAACCUGUUUUGGUGAGGAUUUAGUGUAACGGCAAGCCGCCGGAACUGCGAGGCGAUGUGGUCUGUAUCCUGAACGAACCUGACGAGCUGCAGAAUCGCGUAGUAAUCCGGCUGCUGAGCGCCGUUGUUUCCGACGACUCGUUUUUCGGCGGCGAGAAGCGUGUCGGCAAUUGCUAGGAUCUGUUCAGCAGCUUCGAGUCUGGGAUCGGAAUCUCGUGCUCGGAUCGCAAAUGUCUUGGAGCCGACGAGGUCAUGGCCCAUGAGCAGCUUCUCGGCGAUGCCGAGCCAUCGUUGCGCUUCCGCCCGUGCUAUGAAGCUAUGGGGGUCCAUAACCGUUUCUCUUUCUCUCUACAAAUCAAACCACAAUCGGAAAGUAGCCAUGGCGGCCGUGGAGAGUGGUCGGGAGUGGUGGAGGGUUAAAAAAGGGUUGCAGAUUUUUCUUUUUGACGGAAAAGGACUCGGCUUUUAUAAGGGAAGUGCAGCAACAAGGAGUGGAUAUGCAAGGGUAUUAAUGUCUUUUAAGGAUCUAAAGAUGUAAUCUAGUGUUUCAACUCUGAUUAGUUCACACUCGUGGUCGUUUAAGUUGAAUUAUUUCGAUCUGAUAUGCAAGAUUAUGUUAUUGCCAGAAUAAUAAUGACUAUUUUCAGAGCUAAUAUGCUUUACAGUGUUUUGUACAAUAUCGAUUGAAUUUGUACCUAUUAAUUUAUACAAAUUAUUUGUAAAGUUUUCUAUUUCCAUCGUGUUGUUAAAUUAAUUCAUUGUUACAUUUUGGAUAAAUAUCAUCAAUGCCAGAUAAUUUGUUUUCUUCUCCUCCUCGGUGCUCUUUCACCAUGGCGACAAAUCAACAUAUUUUUGGGCUUGCUACUAGGGAUGCUAACGGGGCGAGUUUUGGUAAUCCCGUCCCCAUCCCUGAAUAUGAAAAUCUUUCUCAUCACCGACCCGAUUUCCAACUGGUACCCG
RNAcentral lists this long non-coding RNA (70346 nucleotides) under Lactuca sativa (garden lettuce). RNAcentral's name for it is "long non-coding RNA (LSAT_LNC007522)". Lineage: Eukaryota; Viridiplantae; Streptophyta; Magnoliopsida; Asterales; Asteraceae. The record is from RNAcentral.